AAAAAAAAAGAAAAAAAAAGAAAAAAAAAAGUCAGCUGUCUAUGUUUAUAGGUACUAUGACACCACAUCAUCCAGUACUGUUCUUGUUCAGUGUCUCCAAAGAAAGGAAUUCUAGCUGCCUGUUAUGUGUUGGUCUUGACUACAGAAAUUAAAGUUAUGACAGUGUGAAAGACUAUCCACUAUGUCUCGAGCCUGACAAUCAAAGACCCAAGUGGUUAUGGUAGUUUCUAUGAUAAUUUUUGGUGUUUCAAUUAGUUUGACUCAUUGGGUUAACUUCGACAGGGGUGCUGUUCAUUUCUUAACUUAUACUACCCACAUGUUUACUAUUAUCUGGGUCACUCAUAUAUCACGGUCUAUGUUGUUAUGAUAGCAGAGUGAUGAAGUUUUUGCUUAACUGUAAUAUACAAGAUAUGAUUUGAUGGUUUGUUGAGUGUUUUUCAGUACUUUGUCAACCGACUGAAUGCCUUAUCCAGAUGACCAUAUUCGGCGCAUAUUUUUGACUCAGUUAUGCACUCAAGCAGGGGGAGAUAUCCAUGGUUUGUUAAGUUUUGUGUUUCUGCUCAUAUGGAGGAAUAAGAGUAUGGGGGAGCCAGGAUUGUGUUUUUGUCGAGUAGGUUGGUUAUUGCUUAAGACGGAUGUCCUGUUGGAUGCUUGAGUAGCAAACUAAGUAAAAAAAAGGGAGAUUGAAGAUGCAGAAUUCCGAAUUGAAGAUUAAUAGUGAGAGUUUGUAUUUUUUUGAUUUUAGGUGUGUGAAAGAAUUGAUUUUAGGUGUUUUGAACUAUUCAAAUAUGCAUUGUUAUCCAAAAUUUCCUAUCUCAUAUAUUAUUGGGUAUACUUCGAGUAGUGAUAUAUUGGGUAUUAUUACCCAAAUGACAUGUUUUCAGUCCAUACCCGCAAUCAAACCAUCAUAUCCAAAUAUACGAAAUGAAAACCUCUGAAUUCCUACCCACUUCCUACUAAUUACAUGUGUUCUGCUUGUUUGACACCGUUUUCACUUUUCAUUAUGUUGUUACCAUUUGAACCUUUAGUUUGUUUUUAAUUGAUUUAUGCUACUCUUUUUUUUCGCAAUUGAUUUAUGCUACUAUAUCAAAUUCAACAAUAUGUAGAAGAAUUCUUAAAAGAAAUCGGGUGUUAAUGGAUCGAUCCACCCUGAUUCAAAUCAUCAUAAGAAUGAGUUUAGCAUUUACCAACCUAUUUAAUAAAUAAGUUAACUCAAUAGAUUAAUAGUUAACUGACCUAUUAGGGCCUUUUUUGGUUCAUUGAUUUAUAAAUGUAUGUUGGAUUUAGAAAUCUUCAUUAAUUUUGAAAUCAUACAUAUGGAUUUUGAAAUAACAUGGUUUACCCUGAAUUCUUUUAUUUUUUAUCAUACUGCUGGAGUUACAAAACAUGGAUGGAAAGUGGAACAAUUCGACAUGAAGAAUUUAGGAAAGUAGAAACUGUGGAGAUAGGUUAAAUAUUCUUAGAAGUAACUAAGGAAAGUAAGUUGACCUUGACAAGCAAGAUGAAUAUUCUCUGGGGUCGCUGAGGGUUAGGGUUUUUGGGGGGCUUUAAAACGGGAUAUAUAAGGGGAUUGGUGAGUGUGGCGAGGGCUUAGCACUCACGGGAAAAAUACGAGUUCAAAAAUCUUCAAGGCAAAAAGAAAACAUGUAAGAAGGUAAGAAUGUGAUAAACUCCUAGAUCUUUCAAGUAAGACAAGAAAGGUAGAGAGUGAGUAGCUUGGUUUUUGUUUCUUGGGAGAAAAAGUCUAUUAGAGUAGAAUAGCACAAGUUUCACCUAGAUAGUUACAAGCUAUUGUAAAAGAUUGAACUAUCAAUAAAACAAAGACAAGCGUUUGAUUCGCCGCUUUCCAGAUUGUGUCAAUUAACUAUUGUGUACCCUUCUGUAUCUAUCAACAUAAAACGAGAAUUCGAAUUCGGGAUUCAAACCGAAAUCCCUAACAUCUCACCAAAGACUCUCUUCCCAAAAAAUUCCACACACUUGUUGAAAAUUCUAUUUUUCUCCCUACUUGAAUCGUUCAACUUACUUCACUAUCUAACUCGACCUAACUAUCUUUUUCUCACAUAACACACUCGUUAUAAAGCAAGCAAGCUAAGAACAACAAACAACUCACGCGUGCUUCUCACAUGGUGUCGACUUAAACCUCUUUCAAGUGAGAGCUUCCACUUUAACGAGAGACUUCAACCUUUUUAGCACAAUUCAGUUCCAUCUUUUUUUUUUUUUUUUUUGAUAACUCGGGUGUCCGGCCCCACCGAGGUGGAACCGACUAGCGUGGGACCCACAUGCGUCAUCUGCUCUAGGGUACCCCACAUCCCGGGGAGCUAGCGAUUCCCUCAUGUAAAUCCGCCAGUAGCCGUGCCUCGAACCCUGUGGCGGAAGUCACAGCCGUGACCCCUUUACCAUUAGGCCACAAGGCCCGGUUUAUUUUGAUCUUUUAUUAAAAGGAAAAGACAUUCAAAAAAUUUGAGAGGUUGAGAAGAAAUAGACAAGGUAGGCUGGGAAAGCCUGCCACGUCCGAAAAAUGGAGAUUGACGUAGCUAAAGAAAAAAGAAGCAUACCAUGUGCAGACCCACGUAGAUCUCCCAUUAAUCCACUAGAAUCUCUUUGUCUUUUUAAAUCCUUUUUCAUUAUGAAAUAAAAAGUUUCCUCUAGAAUAUACAAAACAAAUUCGUGACACACAUUGUAUUCUUACAUGAAUUUUAGUAGAUUCCGUAUCGAUCGUUGUUAUAGUUGCCAUUACGUAUAUACCAAAGCGUAACGUAUCCAUCAAUAAAUACCAAACACACAAUUUAUAUAAAAAAUAAAUAGUUUACAAGUUCUUUACCUAUUUUCUUUCUUUUCUUUUUCUUCAUUUUCUUACCUAAUUAAUUCCCCUAAUUAUAUAUUUUCCAAAGACAUAUACGAAAACCAAAUUAAUUAAGAAAUGCAACAUGCAUUAGGGUUCUCGUCGCUAAAAAGCUGCGGCGGAGGAAUCCUCUCUAUGACGUAUGAAGGCUGAUAGUAAUACAUCAUCCUCUUCAUCCCUUCCACUUCCGCCAUCGCCGCCAUUUCAUCGUCUCUUCUCUCUUCCUCCGUAUCCGCCGCGUCUUCUCCACCACCUUCCUCUCUAUUUUCCUCUCCCUCCUUCUUCUUCUCUUCUUCCUUAUCCUCUCCGGUUUCUGGCGGUUUUUCAUCGCCAUCACCAUUCUCCUCCUUCUUCUCUUCCUCCGCGGCCGGGUUUUCAGGUUCCGGGUCAGGUUGGGGUACAAUUCGGGCUUGCUUUUUGGUCCGACGGUAGACGUAAUCCACAAGCUUCUCGGCGUCCAUUGUUCCAGUCACUAUUACUUUUCCAGUGGUGUGCUCCGUCACAGUUGUUUGGACCCCUAACCAACAAUAUUAGUUAGUCCAAAUAGAGCCAACCUCAUGUAAUUCAAUAUUACAAUUUUUUAAAUGAAAAAAAAAAGAAACUUAGUUUGUCGCAAAAACUGUCUAAUUUAAUGUUUUAUGAAUGACCAGAUUAAAAUAUCUUAGAAACCAAAACGCUUCUAAAAGUACAAAACCUCAUGUCAUCACAAAUUUUAGCUUAAACAUGCAUGUGACGUGAUGCAUAACGAGAUAUCUAGUAACUUCUUUUUUUUUGACAUGAUAUAUAAUGAAUCUGAAGGUGACAUCUAUAGAGAAUGAUAUAUUAUUUUAAUAUGGAUACGUAUGUUUAAACAGUGGGAAAUAUAUAUAUAUAUAUAUAUAUAUAUAUAUAUAUAUAUAUAUAUAUAUUAGAUUUUUUAUUUAACGAGUAUUGUGAUUCGUUCAAAACAACAAAUUAUAAAAGAAAAUACCAUUUUUAAAUAUAACCAAAAACUUAAAAUCAUUAUUCUAAAAUUUACAUUUAAAAGGAGUAUUUGGUAUUGACGAGAUCCAGAAAUGUAUAUGUACCUCUCAUUUUGAGAAUCUUCUUCUUGAGCUGGUCAGCACAAGCUUCGCAGUGCAUGUUGACGUUGAGCUCGACGGUGGUGAGACCGCCGGAGACCUGAGAGGUUAUGAUCGGUGGCAGAGGCUCUCCCUCGGCUGCCGGAAGCGGAGAGAGGACUUUGGCCAUUCUUUUAGUCUUCUUCUUGAUUUUGUUGCACACUGCUUGCGGAUCCAACACUCCUUUUAUCGUCACUUGGUUCUCAUUCAUAUCCAUCACCACUUCUUCCACACCUACAACAUUUAUUAUAUACAAAAAAAAUGUAAUUAUUUAUUUCACUUUUGGAGCUUUAUAAAAUAAUAUUUUGGUAGUUGGGAUUUUGAGAAUGAAGCUAUUGGUUUUUAUUAUUUAAAAAGAGAAUUUCUUUUUGUUAAUUUAAAGUGAUUAUUCUUAGAUGAAUCUAAUUCUCUAUCCAUUUAUAUAUUUGUUUACCUCUAAUUUUUAGAAUAGAUCUUUCAAUCUUCUUAGCGCAUCCAACACAAUGCAAGUCGACGUAGAGUAUGAAGGGUGGAGGCGGUGGUGGUGGUUGCGGCUCCUCCUCCUCGGUUGGUUUCUCCUCCUCAGCCGCCACUUUUUUCUCCUCCGCCACAUCUUUCUUCUUCUCCUUCUCCUCCGCGGGGACGGCCUCUGGAGCAGAGACUGCCUCCUUUGCCUCCUUAUACUGAAAACAUCAAUCACAAAAUCACAAAUAGGCAUUUAAUUUGCUGCGGUUUAAAAAUAUAUAUUGAAGGAACUUUAGAUCUCACUGGUUUUACUUCUUCACCCAUGUUUUAGAAUCUGUGGUUAUACGACGAUAUGGUUACAAAUGAAACGAAGAAAAGAGAUAUGUUAUGGAGGGAAUGGGUAGAGAGAGCGAGUAUUUAUAUGAAACACUAGUAUAUAAAAAGAUGAAGGAGGAAUGGAAUUAUUGAUGAAUAAUUAAAGCUAUAGUAUAAGGUAGGAGCUAAACAGAACAUAAAGCAUAAGAGGUUGAUUCCAUAGCACAUGGCAGAAACUAAUCAUCCAACAUAUAUAGACACACCCCUUCACCUUUGUUACCUUAUAUAUAGAUUUAUUCUCACCACUAAUUAUGUUUUGUAAUUAUUUUACAAACAACUUUUUCGAAAAAAAUUUCUUAUACUAUUUUUUUAAAAAAGGACCGGCAACAAAAUGGUCCGAGGUCGGUAGGUUUUAUAGGCAUAAAAUGUGAGUGUUCUUGAACAUGUACCUUGAAUGGUUUUGUAAUGUACAUUACAAAAAAGACAUGUCAUUGUAUUAGUUAUUGAAUUAUAUAUUCCGUUUGUUUCUACGUAUAUAUUGGUGAGCCCUGAUGAAAUUCAAAUUUAGAAUUUAAUCCCGGAAGUUGUUCGUUUUGUUGAGUCAGUUUUUUUAGUUAGGCUUCCGAAAUAUAAUAAAAUUUAAUACUGUAUUAUAUGAAAUUAAUAACAAGAUGGCCAAAAGAAUAUGCACUUCGACACAAAUUUAAGGUUCUGCACCUAAAAAUGUGGCAUGUCAUUUAUAUUAAAGUAUAAUCUCAGCAAAGAUAUAUCAAAAUCUAGUUUUUAUGACUCAACAUCAAAAUUCAAAUUCUAAGCUUGAUAUAACGAACACCAUCUGCUCAAACAAACGAACCACAUAUGUAUAAUAUUCUAACCAACAAUAGAUUCUUUGUAAAUUCCUUCCACUUGUUCCUUUUCUUUUCAUGUUAUGGAAUUCAAAUUGGUACAGAGGUUUUGGCUUAAUUACUUCUCCCUUCUCUUGAUAUGUAGUAGGAGUAUAUUUUUUAUUUAUAUUUUCAUGGGAGAAACGUAUAUUUUUUUGAUAACGAGGAAUGGGACCAUAUGAGAAAAUAAUUUUAGGCAUCGAAAAUGACAAUACUUUGCAUCAUACUCACCGACUUUAUUGAUUACAGAUAUAUUGUUCAUCCUUUAUUUUCUACAGUAAAUAUCUUCCAAUAUUUCCUAUUCUUAAUCUAUACUAAAAGUUAUAUAACCCAAUGUUAGUUAGAGAAAAAGAUGAUUAGAUGACGUCAUCAUCUCUACCCAACAUUUUGUUGUCAGCUAAUCUAUAUAUACAUUUUUGGAUGACUUUUAGCAAAUAAAUCCUGGAGUUGGAAUGUAUUUACGGAUGAAUGCCAUUGGCAUUAAUUAUUUAAAUUUGAAAAAUAUUAAUUAAAGAUAUUACCAACACGAUUUUGAGAAUCAUAAAUUCAUAUCUUCCUUAAUUUUCUGAGUCAUUAAUGUGAUAAUCUUUAGGAAAUAUUUCUCUCUAAAAAAAAAUCCACAUUAAUGAAGGCAUUAAAAUCGACACUAACAAUUAAAUUAUUUAGAUAUUCAAUUAUUUUAAGAUUCUUAUAUCUUAUUUGAUAUUUUUUUUUAAUAUCUCAUUCUUUAAUUACUGCGUUUAGAAUUUAUUGGUUGUUACCUAUUUUUUGGUGAAAUUUAUUGGUUGUUACUUAAUAAGUAAUUAUGGUGCGUUUAUUUUAGUUAAUAUCUAAUUUAAAGGAUUUGUUUUCUUUUAUUAUUAAUAAACGAAUAACAUGUAUAGAAAUAAAAGAUUUUUCUUGCGACUCCAUAAUAAAAAUAUUAAACUCUUAUUUUCUACAUUUCUUACACAUAAUAUCCUCUUAUUCAAUAACAAAAAAUAUAUAUUGCAUAUUUUUAAAAAUAUUUAUAAUAUUUAAAUUAUAUAAAAGGUUUGUAAUAUUAAUAUUAUUUCAACUCUAUACAAAUUUAAUAUAUAUGUAUAUAUAUCUUAUGGGAACCAUUUAAAAGAAAUUUUUAAAUUGACUUGAAUUAUAUAGCUUUUAAAUAAAAGUAUUAUUAAAAAGAAAAAUAACUAAAUGAUGUUUAAUUUCACGGGACGGGUAAUAUGAUGGGACGGGUAAUAUGAUGGGACGGGUUUGGGUUGAUAUUUAUAAAAGAUAGUAUACCACGGGUGAAAUCCUAAAAUUAACAAUCAAAAUAAUCUAUCAAACAAAUUACAAUUUGAUUUUUUUAAGAAAAUAUAGCCCCGCGGUGUACCGCGGGUUAAAAUCUAGUUUUUAUUUAUUAAGAAAAUACUUAUACUUAUUUACUUACAUUACAAAGUUGAAAGCUAAAUCCCAAGCAAACUAAAUUACAAAUAAUAUGUUAAUUCUAAAAGCUCCAUGUGAUAUUUGUAAUAUGUAUCAUAAUAAUAAGAAUAGUUCAGAAAAUAUUUAUUUAUUUCUCAAUCGUCCAAGUAAUUUCUACAGUUCAAAGUGGUUAGAAAAGACAAAUCAACUAUAGUUGUAUACAUUGUACGAAACUAUUAAAUAGUUUUUCUUCGUUCGUUAAAGCGGGUUUGGUUGAUGAUUUAUCGCCUUUUAGAAGAAACAUCAAAAUCCUUUAACCGUAUUCUCGAUACUAAGAACAAUCUAUAAUCAGUAAAGUCACUAAACAAUGUGUUAUAUAUUUCAUAAAACUAGAAAAAUAGCAUUCCCAUUUCUUCAAAAGCAAUUUUUGGGGAUGGAUGCAACGUGGGGUGCCCAAUAAAAUGAAAACUAUUAAAAAUUAUUUGUGGAUUCAAAUUUUGUAAGAACCUUUGGCAUAGUGGAAAGUAGAAAUCACGUGGGAUGCUUUAGGUUAAAUUUGGACAAAUGAGAGAAUAACUUAUUCUUGUUUGGCAAUUGAGACUUAAGACAACUCUUGUAGACCAAUAGCUGUUUUGUUACUCAAUUAUGCGACUAAUGUUAAUUUACGUGAUUAUGUGAAGUUAAUGAAUAAAUUAGGGGCGUGUUAUAUCUUCUGGUCGAUAUCACUAUCAAUGUGUGUUCUAUCAGUUUUGCCCUAUUUGAUAUAUCGCAACUUAGACAUUGUGACAUAUUAUACAUAUUAUAUCAAGUAUAUAACAAAUAAGCUACAUAGUUGGAAGAACUAAUUAGAAAUUAAAGUGAUCCUUUAGAGGCAAUUGCGGUUAACCACUAAGACAAAGUUAGCUAUAAGAAAAUGAUAGAUCAAAGUGUUCAGAGAAUUCACUCAGAUUCUUAAUGUAUGUAGUUGACCGGUUUAUAAUCCUCGUUUGGUUAUUUUCUAAUAACUAUUUCUUAUUUACUUUUAUAAUUUUGUAUUGUUUUUGGAAUCCUUUUUUUAGUGAACAUCAAAAAGAUAGUCUUUGUGAAGUAAUCUAAUUUUAUUUUCUAAAAGUAUACAGAAAAAAAAAGGUAAAAAGUUCAGGUCCAUGUUUACAUGUGCCCAAACACCUGGAGCUGACUCAGCUUACAACAUGCUGAAUGUAUACAUUUUUGUGCGUAUCUAUGUGUCCAUCUUUUAUCCAAAUAUGAUUUAACAAAAGUACGUUUAUUUCCAUAUUUCUUGGUGAGUUUGGCAAGAAUUUUUAGUAAGUUUUUAGAGUUACAAAAUUUUAAAUCCAUUAUACUGUUAUAUAAAAGAGAUAACACUGUCUAAAAGACUCAAAAAUCACUCUUGUUUAGUGGGAAAAUAAUGCUUUUCCUUUACUUACUUGUCCUCUCAAAUUUUGUUAUUUAGUGUAAUUACUCUUCUUUUUUUAUCAUACAUCUUGCUUUAGCAAAAAUAAUUAAACUUAAUUUACAUUUAAAAUUGAACUUAGUAAGAUGAAGGAUAGGAAAAUUAAAUUUACAUAUAAGUCGAAAAUAAUUUAACAAGUAGCAAUUAUCAGAUAAAAUAACCCGCAACUAAAUUUUACUUAAAAUGUGAACAUCCGUUUCGAACAAAUUCAUACAGAACGGCUGAAAACAUAUAAUAGCCAAAAAAUAUUAAUCACUUGUAUUUUACCUUGUGUCCAUCUCUAAAUUAAUUUUUACUUUCUAUAUUAUUCUGUAAACUAAAAUUUGUCUCAACCUUUUGGUAAAACUGUUGAUAUAUCACUUAAUUGUAGUAAGAAUUUCCUUUAAAACUGUGAAUUUGGACUUAGCUUUUUGGUAUACCUAUAAAUGAACUUGAAGGAAUAAUUGACAUAGUUUGUAUCCUAUCGUUUUCACAUUUUGAGUCUUAAUUAAAUUUGAGUUCGACGCGAGAUAUUGUUCGGGUUUUAAGUAUUGUUUUAGCUGAAUGGACUGGAAAAACUUCUCAUUGUUGAGUGAUUUGUUAACCUCAUCAGAUGUUAUCACGAAUCAAAAAUCAAGACAAGAAUCUCUGGCUUUCUAUUGGUUUACUUUACAGAUCGUUUUUGUAUUUGUUGAUGAUACACAUAUUUUUUUUUGGUAUGAGGAGGGGAGACAAAAGCCUCCCCAUUUUAUUGAAAGAAAAACUUAAACACAAUUACACACGGACAUUACGAGGGUACGCAGACCCAUCGGUGAUGAUACACAUAUUUAAAGGUGAUUUUUGAAAUAUAUUGUACAUCGUUCUGGAAUUAGCAUGAAGUUCCCUAUUAUACCAACCGGCAAUUUGCGACUUUAAUCUGAUUCAAAAGUAUAUCCAAAAAGUAAAAAAAAAAACAAAAAGCCAUAUUGACUACUAAUUUACUCUAUGUCACAACCGAAUUAGUUUUUAAUGCUUGAAUAAAUAGACUUUUGUUUUAUGUAAUGUGCCAUGUUUAUGGUUUCUAGCAUCCCAGUCAUUCAUAUCCACAAUUAUAUAUUUACGCUUUAAAAGCGUCACCUUUGUUUGGCCACUCUAAUUGGAAUAUUGAAUUGAUUAAAUAACAUUUUGCCCAAAAAAGAAAAAAUUGAUUAAAUAACAUAAUACGUGAAUUCUAAAAAUAGUUGAGAUAAGUUAGUUGGUGUUCGGUGCAUCGCAUGUGGAGACAUGAGUCCAACUGCAAUGGCGUUAAGAUUCGAAUGCACAUAUUUUACGCAUUUACGAUGUUUAAUAUAUUGGAAAGAAUUGUAUGUCUUUUUCCUACUCAUAUACUUUUUGGGUUUUAUUCAAAGUAUGACACAACAUCGAUAGUACUGAUAUCAACUACCAUAUUACAAAAGUCUAAUUGUUUUGGUAACGCACUAUUUAUUGGCUAAAAUCUACAUAUAAUGAUGCCCCAAUUAUUCGUUUAAAUAAGUUCAAAUACUAGAAAUAUUCAAAUAUACUAUUAGAAAUGUAAAUACAAUUUGUAAUAGUAGACAACUAGACAUUGUUAGCCAACUUUCAUAUACAUGAUUAGAAAAUAUUCUAGCACAUCCAAAAAAUUCUUUACUUUUUAGUUAUUCGAAAUAUCUUACCUUAGAUUUAACCAUUUACCUUAGAUUAAUAGUGAGAGUUUGUAUUUUUGAUUUUAGGUGUGUGAAAGAAUUGAUUUUAGGUGUUUUGAACUAUUCAAAUAUGCAUUGUUAUCCAAAAUUUCCUAUCUCAUAUAUUAUUGGGUAUACUUCGAGUAGUGAUAUAUUGGGUAUUAUUACCCAAAUGACAUGUUUUCAGUCCAUACCCGCAAUCAAACCAUCCUAUCCAAAUAUACGAAAUGAAAACCUCUUAAUUCCUACCCACUUCCUACUAAUUACAUGUGUUAUGCUUGUUUGACACCGUUUUCACUUUUCAUUAUGUUGUUACCAUUUGAACCUUUAGUUUGUUUUUAAUUGAUUUAUGCUACUCUUUUUUUUUUUCGCAAUUGAUUUAUGCUACUAUAUCAAAUUCAACAAUAUGUAGAAGAAUUCUUAAAAGAAAUCGGGUGUUGAUGGAUCGAUCCACCCUGAUUCAAAUCAUCAUAAGAAUGAGUUUAGCAUUUACCAACCUAUUUAAUAAAUAAGUUAACUCAAUAGAUUAAUGGGAAAAUCACAUUUUUAACCUUCAAAGUGGCACUGGGUAGCACUUUAAACCUCAAUAUAAUUUCACUAGCACUAUAAACCUUCAAACUAAUUAUACUAACACUUUAAACCACCAAAUUAAUAGUUAACUGACCUAUUAGGGCCUUUUUUGGUUCAUUGAUUUAUAAAUCCAUGUUGGAUUUAGAAAUCUUCAUUAAUUUUGAAAUCAUACAUAUGGAUUUUGAAAUAACAUGGUUUACCCUGAAUUCGUUUAUUUUUCACUUUCAAUUCCAUUUAAAAUCUAAUGUGGAUUUGGAAAUUAAAAAUUACUAAACAAAAUAACACAUGAUUUUCACUAGUAUUUAGAAAUCAUCGAAUAAAGACUUGAUUUCGAUAAAGAUUUUAAAAUCAAAGAUCCAAUAACACAUGAUUUUACUUUGGGUAUCUAAAUCAACUAAAAUCCAUGAACCAAUAAACCCCUAAAUUUCUAGAAUAUAGUACUGGCACCAAAUCAAGAGUAAUGCCACAAUUUUAUCCAGCAUAAUCAAUAAUCGUCAAGUAUCCUGAUCCGAAUUCAGUAUUUCCCAAUCGUACAAGGCUACUACUAGCAUCCGAGAGCAGAAAACGUCGAAAACGAUUCACAUUAAAAUUCGGUACUGGCCACAAUGCAAUCUCAAGAUACAUGUGGUCAGGCAUAAAAUUCUAAACAUUACCCUCUGUAAUCGUUACAUGUUAAUAACUACAAGUCUACUACACUCCUAAACCGGCCUUAAUUAAGCUAAGCCAACAAAAACAACAACAGACGCAGAACCAGGCCAAGACCCCUAUUAUACACACAAAUCCAAGUGAAAACCACUUUCUUUAUCCUCACCAUACCAAGGGUCGAACAAACAUCACAUCCAGCGGAUUUAUGCGACCAGACUGCAAACCGACAUCACAAACACAGCCGCUACCACGCCUGCUCUGAAAAGCCCUCUGUAUGAACAUCCCAUAGCUGCAAUUUUCCUGAAUAUGACACUAGUCCUGCUCUUUGAUCUGGUGAAAUUUCCACAUCCUUUCGCUAUAGUUUCCGUUGUUGUGUCCUUAACCUGUAUCGCGUAAAAAUAAGGAUCAGAAAUCGUAAUGCAUGAGAAGGUGUUCUCAUUUGAACAUAUGAAAACAAACUAUUUUCUCACCUCUUUCUUGAUACAUAGGAGUUGUGUACUGUCGGUUUCUGACUUGUGGCUGUUACGGUUAACCUGAAGACGCAACCUUCUUGAGGCAUCGCCCUGCAUUACAAACUGCUCAGCACAACCCGAUGCUUGUGCUCGUCGAGCUCUAAUCUUAAUUCCUGUCUCAGUUACAUCAUUGAUCUUGUUGCAUGUGGUAAGAUUCUGUGGCUCGUAUGGGAUCUGUUCUGGCGUCUGUUGCACGAACUCUUUCCUCCCUGGGAGCUCAUAGGGUAUCUCAAGAAGAGAAUCCAAGAACUUGGACAUAUAUUCAUCGGCAUCAUUUGUACCAUACUGAGUCUGAAUGUGAUCCUCAUUGAACAGUUGGCUUGUUCCAGAUUGAAAACCAUUGAAAGAGGAACAAAGCUCAGAUUGCACCUGAGAGGGCAACGGAGAGAACAGAUUCUGAUUCACGGAAUCAAACUCCAUAAAUGAGAGCCAAUCGAUAUCGUCAAGCUGUUGAGUAAAACAAAAUUUGUAAGUUUACAAACCACCUCCCGUAAUAAAAAAGACGGUAUUCUGUUCAUCCUUACCCCGGUGGUUGUAACCUCAGGGGCAGAGUUUUCGCUACGACAUUCACUGGAGACUACAAGAGAAGAUUCAGCGACGUCACAAGGCUUUGUGUCUUCUAUAACCGGAGAUACCUCAGACAUUUCAACCUCAGAUUUCAUCUCAUCCACAACAGUUGGAGACGAGACCGCUGGUUCAACUUCACAUGACUUCGACUCUUCUAACGCAGCUCCAUUCACAAUAUCUUGCUUCUUAAACAACUUACAAACAACAAAUGGAUUCUGCAACCAUAACAAUCCAACAAACACAAUCAGAAACACAAAAGAUCAAAACACACAAGUAAUAAUUACCGUCAUUAGCCAAGUUUGUUUGUUACCUGGCCAGACUUUGUUCCAUCAAGAUCCUUCUCGGUAGCGCGGUACUCAUGCAUAAUCCAACAAGUUCGUGUCCCUUUAGGAGCACGACCUGUAUAGAAGACUAGAGUCCUCUUAACACCUAUAAUCUUAGUCUUUCCUGAUUUGAUCUUACGAUCUUUUCCCGUCGCCUUCCAGUAACCAGCCACAGUAGCUCGAUUCAUCCUACUUCCACUCGGAUACUUGCGGUCUAAUGGACAAAAGAAGAGCCACUCUGCGUCUGUUGUCUUCACAACAGAAAAAUCUACAACACAAUACUAAAUUAUAAAUCUUUACUCAAAUUCACUAAUUCAACAUCAUCACAAUUCUACAGUAUAAAUCUUUUCACUCAAAUUCACUAAUUCCAGUACCUAAACUAAAAAGUUAUUGAUCAUAUUGUUCCAAAUUCAUACGAAACCAAACUUGCAUAAACCGGAAUUGAAGCGUGGGAAUUGCUAAACCGAGACUAAAGGGCUAAAUCACAAAUCGUGUUGAUGAAGAAAGGAUAAAGUGAAUAUAUGUACCAGGUAAAUCCCAAGGCUCCCAUUUGCAGAUAUCGAUCUCACGGAUUACUCUGACGUCGUCAUCGUGACCGUUGAUCUUGAGUCGGAGAUAGUAACGAACUAACUCUUCGUCUGUUGGACUAAAUCUGAACCCUACCGGUAGUGAAGCGAGCGAUAAUACUUCCAUGUCUUCUUUCAUAGGUGGUGUGAGACUUUGAGAAUUCGAGAGGAGAAGCAAAACACAAAAUUCGAUUUGGAUCAAAGAUGUGAUUCAAAGGUAUCGAGAAGACCUCAGAUUCUAGAAUUUGAUCAAAUACGAAAAAAUUGGACACGAUUUGGUAAAGUGGUGAAGAAGGAGAUGUGACACGAUUUGGUCAGACAAAAGAGAGUUUAUCAUCAAAGAUAUGAAAAAGCGGCGCGUGUAUACACGUACCCACUGCUUCCCAGAAAGUCAUAAACACAAAACCACGUUCGUUACGCGUAAAGGCAAAAAACUUGGAAUACCUUUUUUACCCCUAAAGGAGAGGAGUAAAAUAGAAACGGAAACAAGGGUACAUGAGUAAAGUGAGGAUGUCUGAACGAGAGAUGUCGUCAGCUAGCGAAUCAUAUAUUGACACGUGGAUGUUAUUAAGGAAGCUUCGUGGAAGUUGUACGGAGUCAUUUAUUAUACAGAAAGACAAGUGUCAGUGAUUUCAAUCGAGGCGGUCUGAUACUAUGUUGCAUAACUCCAUCAGAUAUGCGUUUUCAGUUUUAGAAACGUUUCGGAAACUUUUAGAAACGCGUGAUUUCAAUCGAGGCUGUCUGAUACUAUGGGUCCGAAUGGUGACCGCGUAUUUGGUUGUGCGGGGAAAGCGGUUUUAGAGUGCGGUACGGAUCAACUGCGGUACAUGCGGUUUGCGGGACAAGUGCGGUUUAUACAAAAUAAGCGGUACACAAUAAAAUUUGAUUGGUGAAAAACUAUUUGCGGUGCGGAUUUCAUAUUCAUUUAUUAAUAACUACUACAAUUUAUAUGAAAUAAUUUAACCAUAGUUUAAUAAAAUCUUACUAUAACUUUUUUUCUUCUAUAGAUCUGUUUUUUUUACUAAAAUUAGUUAUUUUCUAAUUUAUGAAGAAAUAGUGAAGUAAGUUAAUUUUUUUCUAAAAGAACACAUUUUCAAAGUAAAAUAUUUAUGAGAAUUGUUAACAAGUUAAUUUUUAAAAAAAAACAUAUUUAGUAUAUUGUUAUUUGUUAAAAUGUGUGGAGGCAAUUUUAGCUUUUUUUAUUAAUCAUAAAUUAAAUGAAAAAAGGAAGGUUAGCUUUCAGCCUAAAAAAAAAAAAAAAAGGUUAGCUGUUGAAAGAAAAAAGAAAAAUAAAAAAGAAAAAAAGAGAGAACUGUUUUAACCUGUGCGGAAUUGGUAAAUCCGCUAGGUAAUUGAUCGUUUGGAAAAAUAGGUGCGGUCCACUGGUUAAUAUCUGAUAUGCAAAAACGCAAACACCUUUUUCUAUAUUUUUUGAAAACCGCACAUAAUAGAGAAAGAUAUGUGAUUGGUGACUUUAUGUGGUUUUCGAAAAACCAAACUGAAAUCCGCUUUUUUUUACGUCUCCAUUCACAGCAUAUGUUGCAUAACUCCAUCCGAUAUGCGUUUUUCAUUUCGAAAACGUUUAGGAAUCGGAAACUUUUGAAAAUGCGUGGAAACGCGUUUCCUUAAAAAUUUCACUCGUUUUCUUAGAAAGUUAAUUUGGAAACGUGAUGAAAAUGUACGUUUUCAAUUUUGGAAACACAUCGGAAACUUAAUUUUUUUUUUUGAAACUUAAAAAUUAAUUAAUUUUAGAAAUAUCAGUAUAUAUUUGAUAUUUUUUUCUUUAAAAACUUAAUUAGUAUGAGGAAUAUGAAACACUUAUUUUAUUAUUUGUGAUCAUGAUAUAUGGUCUUAAUUUUUGAUUUUGAGUGUUGUUAUCAUUAGUUUAGUUAGACUAUUUAAUAUUUUUAUUAUGUUAUUUAAAAUAUAUUUUAAUAUUAUUUUGAUGUUUAGUGUUUCAUAUAAAUAUAUAUAUAUAUAUAUAUAUAUAUAUAUAUAUAUAUAUAUAUAUAAGUUUUCAUAAAAAUCCGUUUCUACGUUUCUACACAUUUCGCUUCUGCGUUUCCGUUUUCGUUUCCAUGCAACAUACGUCCGAACAACAGUUCAUGAAGGACGCUAAAAAGAAGAGCCAAUGGGUUUGGUUAGAAAAUAAUUACACAAGUGGCCAGCCCAUCUUUACUAAUACUCUAAUAGAGUUUGUUGUUUAAGCCCAACAAAUGAGAACCCAAGUGAACCAUUUUUUUUUCCCCGCUUUAGGUCAUGAAUAUUUGUAAUUUUGACUUUUUAUAAUGGUUUUUGGUUUAGUUUUGAUUUAGCUGUUUGGAAAAUUUGAAUGGUAAUUGAUGUAGAUUUUAGUUUUUAGCUUUAAACAAAGAAAAAAAAAUUGAAAUAAAACACAUCAUUUUCCCAAAAAAUCAGUAGAAUGUAGUUUUUGGCUUCGGUUUUAAUAAUUGGUAGAAAUUAUAAAAUUCUAUGUUCCAUAUGUCUUAAGAAAACCAUUUGUGCAAAAUAUUCAAUGGAUGAUAAAUUAGUGUUUUUUUUUUUGUAGAAUUUACAAACGAUCAAGACCUUAAUUUCCAGAGAUUUUAAAUCCAUCGGCUUUUUUAGUUUUUUUUAUAUGAAAUUCAAUAAAAAUCUUUUAAACGGAAAAAGGUUUUAAAUGUACUGAACAUUUGAAUUCGUCUUAAACAUAGCUUAUAAGUUAUAACUACAAAACAUGUGGAACCGAUUGAGUCGCUCUGUUCUAUCUGAUCCAAAUUUUGUAGUCAACAAAAUUACAAAGUUUUAGAUUACUAAGUAUCUGAUGACGACCUAGCCCUACCCAAUUUUUGUUUUCGUUUCCAUUUCGACAGUUUUUGGAAAAUCAGGACAAGAGUCCGACUUUGGAUUUUCUUUGAAUAAAGUUCCUCAAUUUUGGGUCAAACUUGCCGUCAUCUUGAAUUUUGUUAUGACUUGCAAUUGAGACAUUGCAUAUUUAGGUUUAACUGGUUCUUCUCCAACUGAGAAAACAUUUUAAAUUCUUUACUGAUAGGGAUGUUAAAAAGGUUUUUUUCAGAAAAAUAAUAUUUAACAAGACGAUCUCUUUCAAUAAAACCCUAAUCCCAUUUUCUUAGAUUUUAUCAUUUCAAGUUCAUAAAAUUCAUACAUGGAUAUUUAUAAACCUAAAAUUUGAGAAUAUAUAUAUCGGUAAUUGAAAAUUAUUAUAUAUAAAAAAAUUAUUCAAGUCUCUUCUAGUUCUAAAGGAUUUUGAACAAAGAUUUUAAAAUUUGAAUAUUAUUAAAAAUAUUGUGUUUUGUAAAAGUUCUAAAUAGUGUAGUUUUGUUUUGUUUGACUACUAUCACACACAGUGCCGGUCCGAGCAUUUGUGAGACCCUAUACGAAAAAUAAAAUGAGGCCCAAUAUAUUUAUAAGUUUUAGGGCUAAAAAUUUUUUUUUUACCUAUUUUUAGUAAAUUAUACAAAAAUAAUGAUAUUUUGAAUAUUAUUACAUUCAAAUUUAAUUGUUUGGGCCCUAUUUUAUUUAUUUUUUCGAAAAAGACUUUAGUUUCUACCAAAUAUUUUCAUUUUAUGGCCUUUUUACCAAAAAGAAAGAAAAAAAAAACCUUUAAAAAAAAAAAAUUGUGGUGCCCCAAGCCACCGCUUGGGUGGCCUGUCCUGCGGGCCGGCCCUGAUCACACAUGUUGUCAAGAAGUCAAGAUUUUCCCGCACACUUUCUUUGAGCGUUAUAUCCUAUACUCGCUUAGGAUGGGAAAAAGGGGAUUUUCAUACCCGUAUUAUCUGCACCGUGGAUUUUCAUACCUGUACAAUUUCGUAGGGUAUUUUACAACCUAAACUUCAAUAAAAUUUGAAUCUCAUACCUAUACUUGAUACAACGGGCAAAAAUCGGAGUCAAUCUAACGGGUGUUAGUCAACUCCGUUACGGUGCUGAGUCAUCGUACACGUGUACGCUGACGUGUAUCAAAACGAUGUCGUUUUCAUACCCGUACUGUCUGCGCUGUGGAUUUUCAUACCUGAACAAUUUUGUAGGGUAUUUUACAACCUAAACUUUAAUAAAAUUUGAAUCUCAUACCCUAUACUUGAUACAACGUGCAAAAAUCGGAGUCAAUCUAACGGGUGUUAGUCAACUCCGUUACGGUGCGUAUCGAAACGACGUCGUUUUGAUAUGUGUUCUCAAAGUUUUAAUUUUUUUUGCAAAACUGGGGACUCGAACCCGCGAGCCGUACUCACAUGGGAAGCACCGAAUACCAACUGAUCCCACAAGAUUCAUCGAGUAUUCCUCAAUCUUUUUCACUUAUCAAUUCGAAAAAGCGUCCGGGAAGCUUGUUUUUAUGGUAUAAGAUUGUUGAGUUCCUAAUUUUUACAAAANNNNNNNNNNNNNNNNNNNNNNNNNNNNNNNNNNNNNNNNNNNNNNNNNNNNNNNNNNNNNNNNNNNNNNNNNNNNNNNNNNNNNNNNNNNNNNNNNNNNUUUUGUAACUCUAGUAAUCGUAAUUUCAUGUCAAUGUAAAACGAUAAAAUAUGACUCGCGGGUUCAAUGAACGUUGUGGGAUCAGUUGGUAUACGGUGCUACUCAUGUGACUACGGCUCGCGGGUACGAGUCUCCAAUUUUGCAAAAAAAUUUAAAACUUUGAGAACACAUAUCAAAACGACGUCGUUUCGAUACGCACCGUAACGGAGUUGACUAACAGCCGUUAGAAUGACUCCGAUUUUUGCACGUUGUAUCAAGUAUAGGGUAUGAGAUUCAAAUUUUAUUAAAGUUUAGGUUGUAAAAUACCCUACAAAAUUGUUCAGGUAUGAAAAUCCACGGCGCAUACAGUACGGGUAUGAAAACGACAUCGUUUUGAUACACGUCAGCGUACACGUGUACAUGACUCAGCACCGUAACGGAGUUGACUAACACCCGUUAGAUUGACUAUGAUUUUUGCCUGUUGUAUCAAGUAUAGGUAUGAGAUUCAAAUUUUAUUGAAGUUUAGGUUGUAAAAUACCCUACGAAAUUGUCCAGGUAUGAAAAUCCACGGUGCAGAUAAUACGGGUAUGAAAAUCCCCUUUUCCCGCUUAGGAUGUGAUUAGUGGAGAUAAGAGAAAGUGAGAGUAAAUUAAAGGAAUAAUUGGAUUGUAUGCCCUAAAUUUUAUUAGAAAUUUGAAAUGUAUACUAUAAUUUUUUAAAAUUUGAGAUGUAUCUUAUUCUUUUUCCAAAAUGACAUUUUCGUCCUUAAUUAAUAACUAAAAAUUCAGAAAACGAAAAUAAAAUAAGGGAGACUCACAAAAAAAUACCUUUUUCAAUACCCCUUUUAAAAAAUGCCCCAUGUGGCUGUCGAUUUUUAAAAAUACCCCUUUUUAUGUACAAAAUGACUAAAUUACCCUUCUUUUAAUAAAAGAUAUCACAAAUAUAUAAGAAAAACAUGAGAAUGUGCACACAUCAAAAUUACAAAUUUGAUUUUGUAAAAACUUGUAAAACCUUUAAAAUACCUUGUAAAAUUUUCCCGUAAAAAUUUUUCCCGCCAAAAUUUGUUUUUUUGCGGGAAAAGUGAUUCCGCAAUUUUUUUGGCGUUAAAUUUUUGGCGGGAAAAAUUUACAAGGUAUUUUAAAGGUUUUUUACAGGGUAUUUAUAAGGUUUUACAAUAUAUUUUAAAAGGUUUUACAACGUAUUUAUAAGGUAUUUAUCAAGAUAUUAUAAGAUUUUACAAGCUAUUUUAUAAGGUUUUACANNNNNNNNNNNNNNNNNNNNNNNNNNNNNNNNNNNNNNNNNNNNNNNNNNNNNNNNNNNNNNNNNNNNNNNNNNNNNNNNNNNNNNNNNNNNNNNNNNNNNNNNNNNNNNNNNNNNNNNNNNNNNNNNNNNNNNNNNNNNNNNNNNNNNNNNNNNNNNNNNNNNNNNNNNNNNNNNNNNNNNNNNNNNNNNNNNNNNNNNNNNNNNNNNNNNNNNNNNNNNNNNNNNNNNNNNNNNNNNNNNNNNNNNNNNNNNNNNNNNNNNNNNNNNNNNNNNNNNNNNNNNNNNNNNNNNNNNNNNNNNNNNNNNNNNNNNNNNNNNNNNNNNNNNNNNNNNCUUAUAAGUACCUUGUAAAUCUUUUUAAAAUACAUUGUAAAACCUUACAAAACACUUGUAAAUACUCUGUAAAACCUUUAAAAUACCUUGUAAAUUUUUCCCGCCAAAAAUUUUCCCGCCAAAAAAAUUGCGGAAUAACUUUUCCCGCAAAAAAAAUUUUUUGGCGGGAAACUUUUUUACGGGAAAAUUUUACAAGGUAUUUAAAAGGUUUUACAAGUUUUUACAAGUGUUUUGGCGGGAAAAUUGCGGGAUCACUUUUCCCGCCAAAAAAUAUUUUGUAUUUUGUGGACCUAAUUUUGUUUCAAAUAAGGGUAAAAUGGUCAUUAAAAAUUAAAAGAAGGCAAACUUAAAAAUGGACUCUCAAAGGGGGCAUUUUUGAAAAGGAGUAUUGAAAAAAGGGCAUUUUUAACAAUUUCUCAAAAAUAAUUAGAGUAGUUAUUUUUUUUACAAAUACUAUUUAAAAUUCACAAGUAAACUGUUCAUAUUAAAAAAUUAUAUACUCAAAAUUUUUUUAUUAUUAUUUUGUGAAAAUUUUAGAUAAUGAUGGAACUAAACUAAUAAUUACGAUAUAAAUUAUGAAUUUAAUUAUAGAAUAAAAUUAUCUAGAUUUUGGGUUGAUGUAGUUAAUAUUUUGGAUCAUGAUUGGUUUAAUAUUAACUAAGAAUUUUAAUUAUAUAUAAUUCAAAAAUAUUUUCUUAGAAAUUUUUAUAGUUAAUAUUUUCGAGAUAUAUAAUAUAUAUGCACUAUAUUUAUUUUAAAUUUAUUACAAAUAUAAAUUAUAUAAGUUAAAUUUAAUUAUCCUAAAAUAAAUAAUUUAAAUAUUAUAACUAAAAAUAUUAUCUCUAUUCAAAAACAAAAAACAAAUCAACAGUUCAAAAGAAUCGAAAAUGUAAAAAAUCAAGAGAAAUUUUUAAAAAUACUCUUUUUGGUGUGCCCCUUUUCAAAAAUGCCCCUUUUAGAUGUCCAUUUUCAAAAAUGCCCCUUUUUAAAUCCGAAAAUUUUAUAAAGUUUUAUUAGGUUUAUAAGGUACUUAUGGAUUGUAACUACUACUUGAAGAAUCGAUCCAAGUAUUUAUAAGGUUUUAUAAGGUGUUUUUAAAGGUUUUACAAGUUAUUUUAAAGGAUUUUUAAGGUUUUUCAAAGGUUUUACAAGAUAUUUUAAGGGUUUUUAAAGGUAUUUUAAAUGCAUUUAUAAGGUAUUUAUAAAGUAUUUAUAAGAUUUUAGAUACGUAGAAAUGUAGUUUGUGUAUGUUUUAAUAAUAUUACAUACAUAUUUGGGUAAAUUUUAUAUUUUUAAGAGCAUUUUUUGUAAGGUUUUAAAAAAGGGGUAUUUUUGAAAAGUGGCAUUUUUGCAAAAGCCCCAAAAAUCAAUUAACCAAAAUACAAGUCAGUUGUUUUAAUAUAAGUCUAUAGAGAAUAAAAUUAAUUCGACAAAAAUAAAAUAUAAGUCGACAGUUCAACAAAUCAACCUUAUCAAUAAAUCAAUGUAAAAUUAAAUAAGUCAAUAGUUUAAAAUCGACUAAAUUUAUUUUCUAUCGACGUAUUUUAAAACAGUCGACUGAUAUUUUGGUUGAUUGAUAUUGUAAAUAAAUAAAAUAUAAGUCGACAGUUUAAAAAAUUGAUCUUAUUAGUAAGUCAACAUAGAAUAAAUUAAAUCUACCAUGAAUAAACAUGUCGACAGCAAAAAUUAUAAAUCAAUGAACAAAAUAAAUAAGUUAAUAGUUCAAAAAAUCGAGUAUUUUGUAAAUCAACUAGUUAAAAUAUAAGUCGAGUGUUGUAAAAUAAGUCGACAGAAAAAAAAAUUAAGUCAACAAAAGUGAAAAAUAAGUCGAAAGAUAAAAAAAUCGACUUUAUCAAUAAAUCGAUUUAGAAUGAAGAAAUUUACCAAAAAAUAAUAAUUUAUUUAUUAUAAGUUAUAUAAUUUUUAAUUAUAAAUUUUAAGUAAGUUACAAAUUGUACUAAUAUUAUCAACAAUAAUAUUUUUUAUUUUUUAUCUAUUCAAUAUUUUAGAUAGUAUAUGAUUACUCCAAACAUUGUAAAUAAGUUUUUAAUUUUUACUAUUAAUUAAUAAAAACAAAUUUUAGUUAUUUUAAAUUUUUUAUAUUAUUUGUAAUUUAUUAAUUUAAAUACUACUUAAAUUAAUAAAAGGGUAUUAUGGUAAAGUUUGAAUAUAAAAAGAGUACUAUUCAAAUUACCAUAUCACUUAGUUUAGUUUUCAAAUUUCUUAUAUAAUUUAGUAUAUUUAUAAAAAUCUCCCUUAAUUAAAUUUAAAAAAGUAAAGGCAAGAAAAACUGAAUUAUAGUGUAAUAAUUUUACUCUACAUUUUUUAGAAGACAACUUUACUCUGUUUUUUCUUCUUUUUACCUGAAACCAGUUGAAUAAAUCAUUUUUAAAAGUUUUUAAUUUGUUUGGUGAAAAAGUAAAGGAAUUCAAAGUAAAUAUUUUUUCACCUGUUAUUUUUACUUUACCAAUCACACCCUUUAGUUUCAAAUGGUAGAGGAAAGAAAUGGAGAAAAAUAUAUAUUUUAAUCUUAAUUUUGACAGUAAAGUAAAAUAUAAUUUGAAUACACUUAACUCAUUCAAAGUUAGUUAGAGAAAGAAAAAAACAAUAAAAAAUAAUAUCCACUAUAUAUAUAGUAUUUUUUAAAAAUGAAAUCUCCAAAAUUAUAAAUUUAUUAGUUUGACUUUUAUGGAUUUAACAUUUGUCUUAUUUAUUUAUUUUUUUGUCAUCGUAAAUCAAUACAAUAAUAACACUAAGUUUCUCUCCUAGGUUGACACAUCAGCUUUUUCAGUUGUUUUGAGAGUGACACCUAAUUAAAAUCAACCUCCAAUAGAAACAUUUGGAUUAAUACAUGUCAGAUUUCUGGGCCAAUAAUAAUUCUUCUAUGUUCCACGUCAUUUUUCUAAAGCUUAUCUCACUAUAUUUGGGCUUAUUGUUUGAGAAGAAGGCUUAUUAUUAUUUAGAAGUGGGCUUACUAUUGAUUGACUCAAACAAAUUGUCCUCUUUCCAGCAUCUUUUUUUUUUGUCGAUCUCUAAAUUUUCUUGAAUUUGGUACAGUUCGUCUAAGUCCAUAAGUUUCCGAAAAUUCUUCAAGAGUUUUAGUUUUGGUAAGUUUGUUUUUGAUGUCAAUUAGUCGAGAGUUUUAGUUUGGUGAAUUAAAGCUUUAAUUUUUCUCCACUUUUGCAGUUUAUGAACCUCUAUACAUAAGGAAAACAAGGAGCAAUCAAUCCUCCUCUACGCAUGCCAUAAUUGUUAAAAGAGCCUCUGUAAGAACAUAUUCUUUUGUUCCAAUAGGUUAGUAUAAAAGAUUAAUAACAAGUUUUCAUUUCAAUGAAUCUAAUCUGUUAAUAUACAGGAUACAAAUAAUCCAAGAAGGGGAAUUUAAAGGAUGAAGAUACUUAAAAGUGUUGUUGGGAUGUUAAGAAGAUUCUAGAUUCAUUAUCUUCUCCUUUUUGUGAAUUCUGUUUAAAGUUGUUGUUUCUCUCUAUGUAGAAACAAGCUUAGACGUGAAUCCUAAGAACAAAAACGCUGUAGGUAUUAUACUAAAUUAAAUGUAAAAUAUACAUAAUUUCUCCCUUUGUUCUCACUGUUUCAUCUUUUUUUUUGGGUCAAAGGAUAACGCAAUGGAGUAUUCCAAGUCUCCCUUCAAAUGCUAAGAACGUAGCUAUGGAACAAGUUACAAACCGUAAAUAUUUUCUUUGAACAUUCUAAUUUUAAGUCAUGAACCAAGUUAUAUUGACAUAUUUGUGAAUUGUUUAGUCGUUUUAUUUUAAAAGCAAACGAACAAAAUGGCUUAUUAUUAUUCAGCUGUCAAUAAAAUGUUGGGCUUAUUAUAUUUCUUCGACAUAUGAAUACGACUAUGCUUUUUGUUGUUGUGAUUUUGGGUUUUAUGUUUUCAGAGAAGGAAAGACAAUUCAUACUGAGGUCUGUAACGAGGAGGCGAAGCUUCGACAAGAAAUUGAUCUCGAAUACCAAAACACAGCUUGUAAGAAUUUGAGAGCUAAAUCAUCUAGGACGAGUUAGCUCGCCGCAUCUAUAAAUAGAGUUUAUCAAGAACUUGGGUAUUCUUCUUUUGAGAAAGAUGAGUUAAUCAUUGACGAGAGUGACACAGAGGACAAAAUUAGUUCUGAUACAUUUCGAAAAAUUAAGAGCAAGCAAGAGACUAUUGGUCUUGGCAGGUUAGAAUCAAAUGACUACAUUGCCGCAGACACGGUAAGUAAUAUUCUUGAACCAUCUAAAAAAUGAGACAUCAUUACUGCAUAUCAUAGUCGACAAGCUUGCCACAUCAUCUGUAGUCUAAAGAAAGAAACUUGUGUGGAUCACUUUUAAAUUAGAUGAAAUUCAGUUGUCAGUUAUUAUCAAUUGGAUAGUUAUGUGUUGACUUUAGAUUCUGUUAGUUCUCAUUGACAUUUUCUCUAUUUUACAUGUUAGGCCAAGGAGGUCAUAUUCAGACCAAAAAAUGAAAAAGCAGUUAUUAGUUAGAUUGUUCAAUGCCUCAAAGAAAGAAUUGAAACAAUAAUCAAGCUUCAAGUAGGAACCAUAAUUUUGGGAACCAAAAGAAAAAGCAAAGUUCAGCCCCGAAGUAUCCCGGUACAACGAAAAACGUAAAUCAUCCUCGAAGAACGAAGCUUCUUUACAUGAGCUGAGACCAAAACAUAUAGAAGAAACCAUUUCCAUGAACUCCAACAGACAUAAGUCUUCUAUAGACAAAGAAUCAUAUGACAAGGAAAAUGCUCACGGACAAAGCAGUGAAACUGGAUUUGUGACGAUGAAGAAGGCAAGAUUCAGAGAAGCAAGAGACCAACGUUCCAUGGCGAAACCAAAUGUGGGAGUUCUGGUGGAGUGCUCGAGAAGGAAAUAGUUAAUCUUAUACUAUGGUUUUUAUGAAACAAAGUUAUAAAAGUCAUAUUGAUAUAUAAAUUCAGUUAAUAUUUGGUGCUUUAGCUACAUUUCGCUUAACAAACUUAAAUUUAUACAAUUUGAUUUGAUUAUUAUAAAUUUAUAUUUCUACUAAAAAAGUAUAAUCCAAAAAAUAUCCCGCAGCGUAGCGCGGGUUUCGUCCUAGUUUCAUUAAAAACACAUGUCCUUUUUAUAAAAAGCUUUUAAGGAGAUCUCAAACAAUUAACGUGUGGUUGAUAGAAAAAUAAUUAUGUGACCUCCUAGUACUAUUUUACCCUUUUAAACGGAAAAGGAAAAAGCUAAGUAAAAUUUAUAGAUUUUUUUGAUGCAUGUCCAAUUGAAUUUUAAAAUAUUUAAUUAAAUUGUAAUUGGUUCUAAAUUUUCCAUAAGUUUGAAGUAAAUGGUUGAAAAUAAACAUGGUAUGGUCCAAAGGGACAUGUAUGAUUUCUACCGCAAGCAUCAAAUAUAUUGGUUUCAACGAAGAGAUAAGAUCCAGAAUUCAUCGAAAAAAAUAUGGUAUAUAUGGUCUCCAUAUAUUCACCAAAUUGACAAUUUUACGGUUAAAUGACAACAAUUUUAUUCACUUAGUUACAAAGUGACUCUUUGACACGGUUCAACUACCAUUGAACCUGAAUCAAUACAACAUAAAUAUGUUCCAUUGAACAAAACUCUCCUCAAUAUUUCUGAAUCCCUAACCAUUGUUACUCACUCAUAAAACUACUAAACAUUUAAGCUUCUGACCUCGGGCUCCUCCGCGUCUGCGGCUCCAACGCUACAUUUCAUCGAGUCAAACGUUAAAUCAAGGAAGUACAACGAACAAACAAGAACACAACAAGUGAUGAACAUGGGGAUGGGACCGAAGAUCCAAAGGAACAAAGGCGAUGAGAAGUAGAAUGCUCUUAGUCCUAACGACCAGAAGUAACUCCCACGGUUAACCGUUGCAGCCACAUAAUCUUGGUUUAUCAUAAGACUACCGUUACCACGACCACCUGAAGAAACAGCCAUCAGCUGUUUAAAGGGGACAUUGAUGAGGAUGCUUGCAUGGCUGUAAUAACGAAUUGAUUGCACAUUGAGGAGAAACGCGACUAGGAAACACACGAGGAUUGCGAAGAACUUGAGCGAGAAGGCUCGAUCACUUUUGUCACCAAACACAAACCAGACAGAUCGCUCUCCUGUAGCGCUUGUCAUUAGUACCGCGAUUAGUGAACACAACAUUAUUGCGGUUGAUGCCAAUAGAGUUGACGCCAUUAUGUUGUUCCUUAGCGUUUGAACCGCUAAAACGCCAUUUUUUGAUGAGUCCUGUAAACAAUGGUUGUAAACAGAUACAUAAGCUAGUUGUUAUCUAUUAGUACAAGAAAUCUGAAUCAACAAAAAAGGCAAAAAAUUGGUGGAGAAAAUAAUAUAGUUAUUAACAUUUUUUCAAAAAAAGUUUCCCAGAAAUGCAAAGCAUCUUUUGAGUGUUAUUUAGCUUUCACACUCGUGGACUCAUUUAUUAAGGAAAUUUCCAGAAUCGGGCAUUUACGUAAAGAACUUUAACAUAAUUAUGUUCAUAUAUGAGAAAAGAAAAGAUCUCAGCAAAAAAAGAAAGAAAAACAACUUGAUACUGUUUCAACUUUCAAUAUAUCAAUUUUUGAGGUGCAUACAUGAUGAUUAUACUUAUACUCUUUUUUUUCUUUUUUUUUUUUUGUUAAAGACUUAUACUCAUAUUUAUGUAAAACAUAUACUUUAUAUAAAUAAAUAUAUAUGCACAUAUAGUCAUAAUAUAGUGACAUAAAAUCUCAACCUCACAUCCUCCAACGCAGAAGGAACUAGCUAGUAACCGUUGACAAAAUUUUCUUUCCCAGGAAAAUCUCUACACAUGCAUACACUUAUCAUUUAUCACAUCUUAUUCAAUUCACUCAUAUUCAAUACACUUAUCAAUUAACACUAUAUGCAAUUUAUAUAAAACACAUACACAUCCACAUAUGAUAUGCACAAGAUUCUCCUUAGUUAUCUCCAACAACCCUCAAAAUAUAAAGCCAAAUCAGCUAAAAUAAAUUUGCAUUUUCCAGGGAAAAAAUGAUCAUCAACUCAUGCAUAAACAUACAGAGAGAUCUACACAUUUGACCCUCCCAAAAAAAAUCUACAUAUAAAUAUAAAUUAAGAACCAAAAGCAAACAAAUAUGAUAUAUAAAAAGAAAAUAAAAAGAAAGAGAAAAAGAAAAAGACCUCCAUCAUGGCUUGGACCCAAAGGCGGCGAUUGAAGGCGUUGAGGCCAACGACAGUCGAAGAAGGACGGUGGAUGAUACGGUAGAGAAGCCAAAGAUGAUAAAACACCAUCAAACCAAGCCCUAAAGGCACAAGUGUGUAAUCUAAAUACUCACGCUUCAUCAUCUUAGAUCAAAGAUUUGAUAAAAAAAAAAAAAAUUUGAAGGAGAUUGAGAGAUAUCAAAGUGAAGCACGGGUCUUACGUGGACCUUCCCGUAUCUAAUGCUAUCUCUUUCUCUCAAUUUUUGUUUUGAGCUUCCCGGAUUCUUAGGCGUUUCCUCUCACUCUAUACCUCUAUUUAUAGAUUUGAGUCUUUAUAUGUGUUAAUUAAAUACAGUAUGUAUACAAAUCCUAGCUGUUAAGUUUGGACUAACCGUUGCCAUUUGUCAUUCGGAUUUACCAAUGUUUUUGUUACCAAACAUAUAAAAUUAUUGUAAUUGAUUAAUUAACUGAAAUUGUAUUUGACAUCUAGUUGAAAUUUCGAAAAUCUUUCAUCAUUUUAAGUUUUAACCACCCUUUACUAUUGGAUGCAAAAAUCUAGUGUUGCACUUUACAAAUACUCCAAUUGCUAGGCCUAGAACCACUAAUACUAAAAGUUCAGUUGCAAUUCACGGGAAUUCCGAAACACUUAUAAAUUAUAAUGACUAGAAAACUAUAAAUUUUUUUAUUUUACAAAUCAAAAAGAAAUAGUCAGAAUUUGUUAAUAUGGUUGUCUUGGAUCUUCCAUAUUUAACCUUAUAACCAAUAAAUACAGGUAUUCUUAAACAUACCAUUGAUUUUGUUUUAAUUCAAAAUUACCAGAAAAUAUAAUUAAAAAACAUCUUCAAAGCUUUUAUUGAUAAUUCCUAAAUCAAUUGUACGAAUUCGUUGAAAAACAAAUAUUAAAGUAUUUAAAAUAUGAAUUUUAUUGAUUUACUCUAUAUUAUUUAAAAUAUAAAUGUAAACAAUAUUAAAAUAAUAAUUAGUUUCGUAUCCACGACCUUAUUAUUUAUUUAUGCAGACCAUUUUUAAAUCUAAAAGUCCAUCUCUAUACUAUUAAAAGAGAAGUACAAAUGAAAAUGGGUCGGGUUAAAAUCAGAAAAUUGACCCAAUUUCUGAAAUCGGAUCUUUGAAAUUUUUUUGGAAUAUAAAUUCGAAUUAAUAAUGAAAAAUAAAAAUAAAAUCAAAUAUUUAUGGAAAUCAAAUAAAAUCUGAUUAUACUUAUGGUAACUAAAAAUAAAAGCAUAUUCCGAACAAUAUUAUACAUUAAUUACGUAUAAUAAAUUUGUUCAUAUAUUUUUGGGACUAAUUCCAUAACAAUCAACGUUUUUGUCAUUAAUUUUGCUCAUUUUAGCCAAUUAUCAUUAAUUGAAAGAUAUAUGAAAUACAAACCCGUCCCUCGAAUGUAUGCGGAUUUGCGGGAUUGUCCAUGGAUUUUGUUUAAAUAAUUUUAAAGUAACCAAAAUUUAAAAUACUACUAAAAUAAAUAAAUAAAUAAAAAUACUAUUAAAAGUUUGUUUAAAUUACCACAUGUUGAAUAAAUUAUAAUUUUAUCAAUAAAUACUAAUAUGCGGGCUGAUCCGCCAACCCGCGGAUGAAAACCGAUUAAACCUAUGACCCACUUCGAAUUAAUCCAUGUGGCCCGCUUAUUUGCGGGUUUAAUAUAUUUUCUCAAUCUGCCCCAUAGUGAGAUGAUGUGGGCUCGACCCGCGGUUUUUGACCUAUUUUGACUGCUUUAAUUCCCAUGAAUCGUCUAAUUUUAGAAUUUUAAAACACCAAAUUCUAUUUUGUAAAUCAUAAUUAAUACGAUGGGUAUAUUUAUAAACAAUUUUACAUUUUCUCUACAAUUCGUUAUUGUGAAUAUUUAUAAGUAUACUACACGAUUCAUUCUACUAAAAAACAAACACAAUAUUAAACGCAACGUAUGUAAACCAAUAUUCUCCCGCGGUGGACCGCGGGUCCGAUCCUAGUUGGUGAACAAAACAAAAAAGCAUGCAAAGAUGUGUUUAAUUUUUUUGUCAACAACUCACACUCCAAAAGUUUUUUCUUUCAACAACUCACAACUCAAAGCAUGCGAAAGUUUUCUUUAACUAAAAAAGUUGCAAAAGAUAUCUAUUAUUACUAUGACAUAAUGAAAUAAUAAUUUUAAAUUUUAAACUACAGACCUUCAUUUGCAAAAGAUAUCCCUUAUAUAUUAAUAGAGAAGCACUUUAUAAAAUAAACCUUAUUUUGACGUGUUAUUAACUAAACUGCCAUGCUGACAUGUCGCUCUCAGAGUAAAUUUUCACCCAUUUAAAUUUUAACCCAAAUUUUACUAGACUAUUUACAGAUUUUGCCAUUAGUCUUAAUACAUAUAUAUAUCAUACAAAUAACAAAAAAACGAAAUUAUAAUUAAAAGCAAAUAAUUAGGCAACUGAUAUCAUAUUUAUAUUUAACAACAAAUCACGGGAUCUUUGUUUAUUUAUAUUAAUAAUCUAUUUUCAAUAAUUAAAAAGGAAAAAAAUUGUGUUUAUCUUAUAUUAAUAAAUUUUUAUAUUUAUAUUUUUCUUUAUAUACAUUUAUAUAAAUCUUCUCUAGCCGAUGGGUAAAAAAUCUUUUUAUUUAUAUAUAUAUAUAUAUAUAUAUAUAUAUUUAUGCUUAUAUUUAAAUGAUAAAAGAUAUACAUUUUGUUCAAGAAUCUCGAAUUCAAAACUACAAAAUCUCUAAAUCUUUCAUAAAAUUUUAUAUCUAUUGUACUUAAAUAAAUAAGAUAAUCUCUUUUCUAUACAUGUUACGGAUACUUAAAAUCCGAUUUUUUUGGAGUAGUUCUAACUUUUCGAAGAAAAACAUUAUAACCACAUUUAUAUAUAAACCAAAAUAUGGCCACAUUAUAACCUCGUUUUUUGGUCAAACGGUCACAUUAUAACUAUUUCGUAAAUAAUUCAUUCAUAAUAUAAGAAUCUUAUAUUUGGAACACUACAAAAUCUUAACUCGGAAACUAUCAAAUAUCAUCUUUGCUAAAUUUUUAGAUUUCUUAUACUUAAAUAAUAAUAAAAAAUCUCGAAAUCUUUAAAACAUACGGAAAGACAUAUUGCCAUAAAUGGUAAUAUUUCGUCAAUAAUUUCUUUAUCACGUUGAAGCUUUAUUUAAGGUUCAAAUAUUCCACGGGUAAAACGUAUUCUUAUAUAAAUAGUCCCAAGUUUGAAUAAAACAAAAAAAAAUUAUUACAUGUUACGUUUUACACAAACAGAUCUUGGAUCCCGGAUAAUAAUUUUAAUCAUAAUAAUUUUACUUAAAUCACUUCAUCCCGCACAUAGUGCGGGUUGUUAUCUAGUAUUUCUUAUAAUAACAACAUACUAUUUAUCGUGAUUUUUAAAAAAUUAAUUUAUAAACCAUUGAUCUACCAUAAUGCAAAUUUAAUUGAUAAUAGUGUGUAUAAUUUAGAAUAGAUUUAAAAAUGUAAAAUUUAAAAUAGCUGAUUUUGGACCGUUAAAAAAAUGAAUGUAGCUGUAAAUUGAAAAAGACCAAAAAGGGGAAAAAUGUGAGGAAAGUGGAAAACUUUUAAGAACAUGCACGGCCCACUAGAGGCCCUACUUUCUAUGACGUCUGUCGUCUAUCUUCAUUUCACAGCUGAAUUGGCAUCGGAAUAUUCCUCGAGGGUUCCCCACCAUAACAAUGUUGCCAUUUUUCUUAUUAUUAUUAGAAGUUUAGAACAACAAUAAACUCACUUAUAUAAAUUUUCUAAAAAGACAGAAAAUUAUGGUGAUCAAAAGUUGUCACGGCCAUUAAGAAAAUGUAAGAUUCUGAAAAUCCCACAACUACAAGCAUCAAUGCAUCAUGGUCCUAGAUUUCAAUGCAUGUAGAGUGCUACUGUGCUAGUAAGUGGUUAACACUUCAAGUUCAAAUUUGUAAUGGAAAGUGACGAAAUUAAGUUCUUUGUAAGUAUCCUCCUCCCAAACUAAAUUUCAUUUUAUGAUAGACAAACACUCAAUUUGUCUUGUAUUGUACCAAUCCUAUUCAUUAGUGUCCAAUUUAAUUUUUUUUGGCAUUUUUGUCCUUUACCAUCUUAAGAAAACUGUUUGUUCUUUUUUUUUUUUUUUUUUUUUUUUUUUGUCACGGGAACUGUUUGUUCUUCUAAAACACAAAAGUUCUGGGCUUUUAGCAAUUACUAUAAUAUAUAACCCGGACGUUAAAAGAAGAAAAAACAAAUUUUUCUUUGACUUGGAGGAAAUUUUCUUUUAAUAACUUAUUUGUGUACUUUUUUUUGUUAAAUUUUCUUAUUUGUGUACGUUGUGGUACCACUUGGUAGAAAGUAGAGUUGUUUAUGUGUCACUUGCAUGUUCAUCAAGUUUCCACAACUACUACCACCAGGUCCUAAGAGUAGUCCUAUGGGAGGCUUGGGGAGCUAGCUAAGAAAACAAUGCUUAGUUAGAUUAGCAUUUAAUUGGGAGCGUGUGACAUGUUACCGUUAACAUUACCAUUAAUAAAGACUUUCGUUGACUUGUUAUGAAAAAGAAAUUUAAUCAGUCUUGUGUUAGUUUCAACUAUUAUCGGAUCUGUCUUGAAGUUAGCCUACGUACGUACCUCUCUUCACGUGGGUUUAUCUAUUACGUUUACACGUGGUUUAUACAUACAUGAGUGUCUGUGUAGGUACAGUACUACUAUAAGUAAUAACCACUAAAAAUGUUUACAUAUAAAUUCAUUUAUAGUAUUACCUAUCAAAACGAUUUUAGAAAUUUAGGUUACCUAUCAAAACGAUUUUAGAAAUUUCUUUCUUAAAAAUUAUCCACAGGUUAAGUCUUUUAAUUUACUGUAUUGAUAUUUAUAAAUUCUGUCAAUUUUAAGGAUUAGCUGACAAUUUUGACAUCAGUUGACCUCCCGAUUCAAGGUCCAAUUUUUGUAGAAUUGCAAGUGGGCUUUAUUAAAGCCCAAAUCAGAUAAACAUUGACCAUAAUAAAGUCAAAACUUUGUUAUACGUUAAACAAGUGGAAAAGGAUGUGAAGGAGCAAAGAAGACGGGGGUUAGGUAGGCCAAAGUCAUUGCACUCUUCUUACCGUUUCUCCUUUUCUUUCGUUUUCAUAUUUUUUUCUAUGAAUUAAUUAAUUAUUAUUAAUUUUACGGCAUCACUUAUUUUUUCUAUUAGUAUUAAUUUCGUUUUCAAUUUCAGCGAAAAAAUUACCGUUUAUCCACUUCAUUUAACAUGGUUAUCUCAUUAUCAUAUUUACUAUUUUAACCAAUAAAAUAGCUUCAAAUUAUAAAUAUCGCAUAGAGUCAAAUAGGUAAUUAUAAAAAGAGAGAAAAUAAAAUAGGUGAAAUUUGGGUGGGGAUUUUUUGUUCCGCGCGGGUUUGGUUUAAAAUAUUACCAUUGAAUAACUGACACGUGAUAAAUAAUCUCUUUCUCUCGAUAAGACAAAACAAAAAACGAAAUUAGUAGACGAAUUAAAACUUUAAUUAAGUACAUACAUGUCCUCAAAAAUGAAUAAACAAUUAAUAUAAAAUGGAAAAAAAUCACUGGUGGGACCCGUUUAAUGCGACCGUUAAUUAACGGAGUUAAGAUCAUAUUAUCCGUUGGAAGACAGUGUUAGUUCUUCUCUCUAAUCUAUAAAUAUCUUCACCAUCUUCUUCUUCCCUCACUUUGUUCUUCUUCUUCCUCUUUGCUCUCUCUCUCUCUCUCGAGUCAAAAUUAGGGUUUCGUUGUAUCCAGGUAUGUAUCUCUCUCGCUCUCUCUUAUCUCUCUUCUCUGUGUAAUUUGCUUCUGAAAAUUUCUAAAUUCGUGGAGAAUCUUCUUCAUCUUACCAUCGGAUCUGGUAGCUAUCUGUUGUAGCUUGCACUUUGAUUUCACGUUCGAAUUUUGGAUAAUCGUGGAAUCUGUAGUCUAUAGCUUAAUUGCGUUCAAGUAGAUUCGAGAUUUGAUGUGAUUUUGAAGAAUUGAUUAGCUAAAAUGUGGAGUGAUCUACGUUGAUAUUGAUGGUUGAUUCUUCGGCUUCCUUCGGUUUCUGCAGAGUAUAUAAAGGUUGUUGUGGAGCUUUUUUCAGAUUCAAGGAAUAAGAUGGAGGUAUUUGGAAAAUCUCCCAUGGUUACAUCUGCCAAUGUUAUUUACUUGUCUGCAAUUCUGGGUCGCGAUUGCGAUGGACCCAAUCAGUGUCACAAAUGUGAUUGGAAAUGUGAGAAUGAAAUUGUUUGUGGGAAUAUGUAUCGCUGCAAACUAACUGGGCUGACUCAUGUCUGCGACAAGAAUUGUAACCAGCGGAUUCUCUAUGAUAACCAUAGCUCUUUGUGCCGUGCCAGCGGGAGGAUUUUCCCUCUCUCAUCGGUUGAGGAGCAGGCGGUUAAAGGGGUUCGGAGGAAGCUUGACGCUGCUGAGAGUCAUCCUUCUGAGAGCUGUUCGUUUAAGCGUCGUCGUCGUGAUGCUCAGUUCCAUGCUUCUCCUUUCGAGAGGUCUUUUACUGCUGUGAGCCCCAUCUGCAGCCCAGCUGGAGACGGAAUGGAGUUGAUUUAGAUCCAUGUUGAUCUCCUCAAAUCCUGAGACUGAGAGGCUUCUUUAUCUUACGUAGAAUAACUUCCCUUUCUCUUUCUUUUGGAGAACUAUGGAUAAGAGACAUUGUGCUAUUGCUCUUGCAGGGAGGUCUAGGCAUAUCCUCCCUGCCUUAAAAAGAGCUUUUAUCUUAGUAUUGUUGAACUUUAUGUAGUACUUAUGUAGGAGAGACUUUAUAAUUCUAAUGCUUUAUUCUGGAUCUUACUGCUGUUGCAUUUAGGUUCUUGAUGUUUGAUGUCUCUUCUUGUGCACCUUUAGUUUUUUCUUGUGAUUGGACACGAUAUUUAGGCAGGCUUUUAUUCAGACUUGUUUUGGCUACCUUUACGCAGAGCCUGACACACCAUGGCUGAUUUCUGUAAAUGUGGUGCUACCGCUACAGGGUUUUUACACAUUGCUAACCAAUUCCUGAAGAUAUUUUCUGGUUUGUUAUCUUGUAGGAAAUUCCCCUUAAUCCUUUCUGAUCGAAACCUAAUUCUAACAAAUCAUGUGUUCUUUCCAACUUUCCUUUCCUUGAUCGAUGAGUAUUUGGGUCUGAAAAUGUUUUCUGUUUGUGCAGGUUUCAAAUGUUGCAAUUCAGGAGAGUUUAAUUGUGCUUCUUUUAUGUACACUGAUUUGCUUGUUUGAAUUUUCUUUAUCAAAGGAGUAAAUCUAACUGAUGAAAGUUUAAACCUUACUUUGCAGGUCCUCUUGUGUUUGUGCUCAGCAGGAAACAACAAGCUUGGUUUAAAUUCAUUGGCACCAUAAGCUGUUACUCCUUAACUGUGAGAAGGAAGACGGCAUUAAAUAGGUAUGAUGAACUACCUAGUGAGGAUGUGGCCGGCCAACUGUGUUCAAAACUAUCAGCUAAACAUGGUAAUUAUGUGAUAUGAUGUUUAAAGAAUUGUUACCGUUACCUUUCGUUUUCCAUUUACAUGUUGGCUCUGCUUUUGUACCAGUACCUGCCUUACUUUCAUGUUUCUUAUCAUCUGCCAUGUAACUUUGUCGUGGCUAUAUCUGAGGUUCUGAUAUUUGUCCAAUAUCUAUGACCAGGUACAAUCUCUUUAGACUGUUAAGUUGCUGAUGAAGAUAGCUUGUAUGUAAUAUCUGAGGCCCGGAUGGAAUCUGCGCUCUUAUGUUGCCCCCAUGAGUCCCACCUAAAUCGCAGUCUUGGUAAGUCAUAGCGUACUUACACCCUUCUCGUUCCUAACUGUUUGUUGUAGUCCUAGGCUGCAGCCUUACAAAAUACCCUACUCUGAAGUAUAUGUACAAUGAUGAUCUGAAUUAACUCAAACAUAAUAAAAAACUAAGUAAUCGUCAUAUAGAAUAUACUUUCUAGGUUUGCAGCAACUUGAAGAUAGAAACAUAGAGAGCUUUGUAAAAAUCCUCAAUGGUUUGUUUAAUUGCUUCAAGUUGUUUUUUUCUUUUCAACGUGGAUUUUAAUACAAUAGUUUAGCUGACAGAAAGGUGGAUGUCUAGGUAUUCGAUGGUUUCCUGGGAUCGUGAAAGAUUCUCUUCUGAAGAAGUUGGCAAAGUAUCAAAUAUUGACUCAGCCGCUACGAUAAGAUAACGGUACGGGAAUAUUUCUCCCUAAUAGCUAGUGAUAAUAAUUACUUAAUUUAGUAACAAUCACUAUUUUUUUCCUUUUUUUUGUUGAUUUUUUCCACUAUUCAUUAUUGAAUUUCGUAUUAAAAAUAUAAAUUGAGAAAUAUAAAUUUGAUUGCUAGGAUUUUUUUUUAAAUAAAUUUUUUUAUCAUUUAUACCUUUACCAAAGAUAAUAUUUGGUUAUUCAACUUUUCAUAACUAUAUCAACUCCAUUGUCAAGGAACCUGGAUCUGAAAUAAGCUUUUACUUCAAUUUUGUUUGAAAAGGAAUUAGUGUAGAUUCUCUUACAUGAUACAUCGUUUCAUUAGUUCUAUGAUCAUAUAAUAAUACGGAUUGAAAGAGGUUGGGGAAGUAAGGCAAAGAAUUGCCUUGUCGGAGAGACCAGUUUCCUAAGAGUAAUGCUAAACCCUUAUUCAUUGUCUUGCGGCUUGAAGCUAUCUAAAGCAACUUCACGGCUUCAACAUUUUAUUUGGUAUAAACCCUUGUCCAGGGACCUCCCAGUCAAAUUCAUAUUUCUGAAAUCUUAAAACGUUUUUACCAUAAUGGGAAGAUCACCAAUGGUUCCCAUGGCUGUUCUUGUUUAUGUUUCUCUACUGUUCUCUGUUUCUUAUUCCUCAACGUUCGUCAUCACAAAUAACUGUCCUUUUACUAUAUGGCCCGGAACUCUUGCAGGCUCUGGCACCCAGCCAUUACCCACCACAGGGUUCAGGCUUGAUGUGGGACAGUCUGUUAGGAUUCCCUCGGCUCUAGGCUGGUCAGGUCGUAUAUGGGCAAGGACAGGCUGCAACUUUGAUGCCACCGGCGCGGGAAAAUGUAUGACUGGAGACUGUGGCGGGAAGCUUGAGUGUGCCGGUAAUGGCGCUGCUCCGCCAACAUCACUUUUCGAGAUCACACUCGGUCAUGGUGCUGAUGACAAAGAUUUCUACGAUGUGAGUCUCGUUGAUGGGUAUAACCUUCCCAUAGUUGCUCUUCCGACCGGUGGUGGACUGAUUGGAGCUUGUAAUGCUACAGGAUGUGUUGCUGAUAUCAACAUAAGCUGUCCAAAGGAGCUUCAAGUGGUAGGAGAGGAAGAGGCAGAGAGAGGAGUUGUUGCAUGCAAGAGUGCUUGUGAGGCCUUUGGGUUGGACCAGUACUGUUGCAGCGGUCAGUUUGCUAACCCGACCACAUGCCGACCGUCUUUUUACUCUUCCAUUUUCAAGAGAGCUUGUCCCAGAGCUUAUAGCUAUGCAUUUGAUGAUGGAACCAGUACUUUCACUUGCAAGGCUUCUGAAUAUGCCAUUAUCUUCUGCCCUGGCAGGUAUUAUAUCAUAUGCCUUUUCACUUUUGAGUUUGUUACAAUGCUGUCUGCAACUUUUUAUAAAAGUUUGCAGAUUCUGAUUGAUUUUAUCCCCGUAACAAUCCAGGGUAAAAAGACCGGACAGUCAGAGCUCGGAUCCUCCCAGUCCACCUCAGAAUCAGUUCGGGCAACCUAUGGCUCCUCCACCUCAGAAUCAGUACGGUCAGCCUAUGGCUCCACCGACUCAAAAUCCGUAUGGUCAACCUAUGGCUCCUCCCACUCAGAAUCAAUACAAUCAACCUAUGGCUCCACCGACUCAGAAUCAGUACGGUCCACCUAUGGCUCCUCUCACUCAGAACCCACCUGGACCAAACGGGGAAUCAAUGGCUCCCCCACCUCAGAAUCAAAACGAGAAUGGGCACUUCAUGCCUCCUCCCACUGUGAACCAAGUUCCAAACGACCAGUAUAUGAAUCCCCCAAUUCAGGAUCAGAGUCAAUCCUCAUCCAAUAUUCUUCGACCUUACCCUGUCUUCUUGCUUCUUGGCUUCAGUCUAACUGCUUUGAGACAAUCAGGCACGACAUGAAUCAUCACCAUUCUUCCUUUUUAUCGAGAAUUGAUACAUAACCGUGUGGAGGAAUCAGACAGACCAUGUUUAAUGUCUUCUCAGAGAUUUUAUACUCCAUUCAUCAAAGUCCUUAGAUUUACCUUGAAUUGUUUGAAUUGAUAUGUAAAAACUCUAUUUCAUGUGUAUAUAAUGUUGUCUCAACUGAAUAAAUGAAAUGAUACGUUUAAAAAGGAGUGGGAGAAAUCAAAAUCACAACUCAUUUCUUGGAUUUUGGCUUCUUCGGGGCAGAAUUUCUAGCCUUCUUUGCUGGUGGCUGCUUCUCUUUAGAUGGUCUUCCUCUCUUUUUUCCUAUAACCUGCGAAGAUUCCACAUGUAACAAAUAUUCUUUUACUGUAAGGGAUUUAUGUCGAUUUCAUAGAAGGAAAUUCUAAGUUUUUGUCAUCGUACAGUUUCGCCUUUUGCUUUGGCUUUGGGUUUGGCUUUUGUGUUGGUUUCUUCCUCUGUGCCUCCACUUUGAUCAGCUGGCUUUGAAGCAGUCUUGGCGUUUUUGUUAGUUUCAUCAUCUGAUUCGAAUGAAAAUCCCUCCAGAGUGCCUAAAUGGGUUAAUUGUAUUAGCCGGAGAAGUAGACAUUUGUGUAAAAUCAGUUUACCAUAUCCAGAAUAGUUCUACAAGAAGACAAGUUCGCAAUAAUGUCUUCACUUUUAUCAGAGAGAAAACGAGCUGACCUUCUACCAUUGUUUCUGCCUCGUACACAUUAGAUUGUGGUGUCAGCUGUAUGAAGUCAUUCAUAAUAGCUUCAAUCUGACAAGGGAACAUAUAAUGCAAAAAUUAGGCUAUCGCUCCAAUUUCUGUUUUAGUUUCCCAACCAAAUGCUAAAAUUUAGCUUCGCAAAAGUUCAGAGUGCACACAGAGUCGAGAUCUAUGAGCAAUAAUAUAUACAACUUAACAUGGUAUCGGCAUUGAAACAAGAAAACGCAAUAGAAAUUACCAACCUUUGCCUCUGUCUGACCUACGUUAACCUGAAAUACAAGAUCGUUGUUGUGAAUUAUUAUACCACAAGUGCCCUUACAAUUCGAAAAGGUACAAGGAGAACAAAAAACGUACCACGCAAAAUGUUCUGGAUGGAAUGAUUGUUGAUUUAUAUAUGGUUCCUGAAACAUGAAAUGAAAACGUGUUACUAAAGAAACUCCAGUCAUGAACUAAUUAUGUAACCUGUUACUUGUAACGAAUCAGUUCCGUUACACUCAAGAGGCAUAGCUGAUUUUGCUACAUGUUUUGCAAAAUAAAAAGAGAACCAUUUUGGAGUUUCAAUGGGAGAAAUCGAAAAUCAAAAGCAUAAAGAGUGAAGCCAGUGAUAUGUAUAUAUGAGUGAACAUGCCUUUCAAGUCCAAGUACAUGUCUCCGGUUGUGUCUGAAACAACCACUCGUCCAACAGCCCCCAUGUCUCCACUCAAAUCUAUCGAGUCACCUUCACAUUCAACAAGUACCUGUAAAUAUUGUUCACUGGUUUACUUAACCACUGUGCUUUAUCAACUAAUAAAACUCAAAAAAUAGACGUAGUUUGGCCUUUCCAGAACAUAAAUGUCACCAGCUUCCAUAACAAAGAUAUAUAAACGUCGAGUGUAAAACCAUGUGCAAAGAAACAUAGUUGUAUUACCUUUGUACGAUUCACCUUCUCAGAAAGUACCAAAGGCAAUCUUGAACUUGAGCCCUGCAAUAUUUAAAUCUGGUCAUUAGGUAGAACCAUAGAAGAAACAACAAUAGUGGUCCUCGCACAAAGGAACUUACAGAAGAAGGCUUGAUCUUCUGAUCCAUUGUUCCUUCCUCGGCUAUAGUGGUAUCUGUAUCUUUAUCUGCAUGAUAGAGGAACCGUUACGUUGCUUUAUGAACAUCCUAUAUUAAGAAAACAUUGAUACAAUUCUUACCUUCACUUUUAAAAAUUUUCUGUGCACUAUUUUCUUCUUUGGGUGUCUUGCGACUGCUUUUAGACUUUGUUUCUGGAGAUUUUUCCAUUGUUACUUCCUCGGCUAUAGUGGUAUUGAUAACUUUAUCUGCAUGAUAGAGGAACCGUUACAUUGCUUUAGGAAAAUCCUAAAUUAAAAGAACAUUGAUACAAUUCUUACCUUCACUUUUAAAAAUUUUCUGUGCACCAUUUCCUUCCUUGGGUGUCUUGCGACCGCUCUUUGACUUUGUUUUUGGAGAUUUUUCCUUUCCAACUUUCUUAACUGCAGGUUCUUCCUCUGUAGCAUCAAGAACAAAAUCCUCAUCCUUUUCAGUUGACACAGCCACUUCCUGCUUUAUCGGAGCACUAGAGGAUGGUUCAGAAUCAGAUGAGACCAGCCAUACAGAAUCAUCUCCUCCCUGCUAAAGAUACAAUUAAACAGCGUUAUCAUAUCUUCUCAACACUAUACCAAAUUAAGAGUUAGUAGUACUUUUUUUGAAAAUAGUAUAUCACUAUUUUAACAACACAAUCCAUUUAUGAAGCAGAUACAUGCUCACAAGAAAGGCUUGAAUCACAAUAUUUUUUUUCACUAAAGCAAGUAGAGGCAACAAAAGCACUAAGGAGUAGGAUGGAGAGAGUGUCCAAAAGUUUCUUACUUGAGCAUCCUUAUGCUUGGUAGAGAGUUUUUCCCCAUCAACGUUGUUCCCAUUCUGCUUCCCUGCAAAUGAUUCUCCCCGAGUCAAAUACAUGCUUAUAAGAGCUCAACAGUUGAAUAAACAAUACUCCCCACAAAGUCAGAAAUUGAUAGUUUCUCCCUCGCUCUCCAAGAAGGAAAUGACUCAUAAUGUUUGUUCUUUUAAUCUCAGAGCAAAACAAGAUUGUUUUGGCGCAGCAUCUGAAACAAAAUCAUCCAUACCUUCAAGGUUGAGACUAGCAUCUGCUUUCUUCUUUCUAGAAAACACCUGCUCGAUACUCACUUGCUUCAUCACAAGAUUCGUUUCGGAAUUCUUCCUAGACAGUAGUAACUCGACAGAUUCUUGAGACUCGACAGAUUCUUUCUCAAGAAUCGUGGUGUCGUCACCGUCAUCAUCAGGCAAAGGAAGAGACGAAACGGCUUCAGAUUCUCUAUAAGGACUAUCAUCUGAAGAUGAUAGUGACAACAAUGAAGUAGUCAUGGGUGCCUGCGUAACAAAACCAUCCACUUUUCAAUUUUGAAUUUCUAUAGAAUUCAAAAGAAAUAGAAACAGAAAUCCGAUUGAAUCUGAAACCUCGUAAGAGCGAAGCCAAUCUGGAGAUCCCUCUCUAGAGCUACUGCUCAUAAUUUCACUUCUUCAGAGCUCAAAACAACAAUCGAAGCUUCUUCCCAACUUUAAUCUCCACUCAAUUACAACAAAACCAGCUCGUAGAUUCAGGAACUACUUGGCAAAAUCAAAACCCUAAAAAGAGACCUUAAAAGCUAUAAAUUCGAUUGAAAAUCCCAUGAAAUCGAAGCUCACCUGAAGAGAAGACGAAAUUGAGUGAUUAAUGAAUCUAAUGACCGGCGACGAGAUCUAGAAAAGGAAUCUGAAGUGACUAAGAGAAGAAGCAAAGAUUUCGCCGGCGGCGAUAUUGAAGUAUGUGAAAAACGCGGGAAGAUUGGGCAGAAACUGAUUGUUCGUGGUUUCCAAAUGUUUGGUCACAAGAGGAAUACUAUCCCCAACGUGGAGGUAUAAUUUACUAAAAGCCCAAUAGGCCUUAUGGGCCUGCUUGUUUUAUGAUAAUAACCCAUCAGUGAUACUAAUAUACAUAGGUUAAUAUAGGAAAAUCAAACGCCGAUCGAUGUAUUAUUACUGGUUUUUAGGGCAAUACAAAAUUGUAAAAUGAAUACCAAUGGUGUUGGCAUCUGUAAAAAAACAUGUAGCUAUUAUCUUUGGGGCCAAUAAAGCAGUAUCUUAUGGGCCUAUUAAGGCCCAAUAAUACAUCUGUAAGAAACACGGAACUGGCAAAAGGAGGGAGAUAAGGAGAAGAAGAAGCGAAACAAGAAAAGUGUGACAAAGAAGAAAAAUGGGGAGAGACGGAGGAGACAAGAAGCGAGAAACAAUGGCGGUGAUGAGCUUAAUGAAGGAUCAACAGAAUCCAAUUCAACAGUUUCAGAUCAAAUUCAAGGAGAUUGAGACUGGUUUCAAGUCUUGGUUGUCAAAACAGAAGUUGCCGGUGGAAGCCGCCGUAGUCACCGCCAUAGGCGGUGUUCAGGGAGCUUUUAUUGGUGGUCUAAUGGGUACUCUCUCCCCUGAAAUGCCUCAGGCUGGUAUUGACCCUCAAGCUAUGGCUUCGUUAAAGCAAACUCAGGUUUUUAAAUCCUAAUUUUGAUUCACUGGUUAUGUCACUUUCAGUUAGUUAUUGCUAAUUUUUGAAACUUUUUUUGUAGGCUCUUGUUGGUGGGCCUUUGGUUCAAGCUCGGAACUUUGCUGCUAUAACUGGUGUUAAUGCUGGUAUUGCUUGUGUUAUGAAACGGAUUAGAGGCAAAGAGGAUUUAGAAUCUGCGUAAGUUUUCAUUUUGAUCUUUGAAUAGUUGUAGCUUAAUUUGUAUCUUGUAGCUUGUAUUGUAUUGUGUGUGUGAAUUGUUGUUUCUUGGUUCUGACGUUUUUCAUCAGUGAUCUAGGACUUAACGAAUCCUAGAAACUCAAUUUUCGGAGCUGUUGUUAGAGACAAUUAGUGUCUGCAAGUAGUGUUUAUGUUUUGCAAUUGUCAUUUUUCUGAUCAACAGUUAGGUCUUAAUCAGAUUCUCUGUCACAGGAUUGAUUCCAUGACAGGAAAAAAAGAUGACUUUGCUUAUUUUUUUCAUCAUUUAUUGCUUCAUUGAGUUACAAUCUCUACCCGAGUUAGUUCGUUAUGAUUAUUCUGAUACUUAAAAUGAUUCACUGUUCUUGUAGGGCUUUGACUACUUGUGUGUGUUUACUUUUGAAACAACUUAUAUACAAUCUUUGAUGGGUGAAGAUUCUUAGUGGCUUAUUUGUUUGUUAAAACUCGAUGGUUGAAUUGUGCAGUGUGGUGGCAGCAUUCGGAUCAGGAGUUGCGUAUUCUCUUGUGAGCGCAGGAUUACAAGGACAACCUAUGAAUGCAAUCACCACUGCUGCUGGUUUCGCUCUUUUUCAAGGAGUAUUUUUCAAGGUAAGUGAUCAUAUAGGAGAUAAAACUCUUCUUGAAACUAGACAGGCACGUCAUUAGUCAUAAGUUUAUAUUCUCUUCUUUUCGGUCGUGGUCAGUUGGGUGAAAGAUUCUCUAAACCAAGUGUUGAAGAUCCAUAUUACACCCGGGGCAGAUCUAUGUUGUUGAAACUGGGUCUAGAGAAGUACGAGAAGAACUUCAAGAAGGGUUUAUUAGCAGACCCAACUCUGCCAUUGCUCACUGAUAGGUACUGUACUAUCUUGAGCUUCUGAGGUUUCAUAAUCUGUUUCAACUAAAGCUAACUGUCUAUAUCGAAAUCGUAUACCCGCUAAACUCUGUUUGUGUCCAGUGCGCUAAGAGACGUGAGCAUCCCGCCUGGACCAAGGCUACUGAUACUUGAUCACAUCCAAAGGUUCGAAUCUUAUCUCUCUAUUUUGAGAGACAUGAAUCUGUGAAAUCACUGAAGUGAAUUGAAUUGUGGUGAUUAUACAGGGAUCCUGAGCUAAAGGGCAAACGGGGAAGUCGUGGUUGAGAAUUGAGAGCCUCUCUGUUUCUUCCGCAGAAUCGUUGUCUUUCUUUGUAAUAUGUUAUAAGGAUUUCAAGCACUAUUAUUCUUAAUUAUUAUUAUUGGUUGAUGUUGCUAGCAAGAAACUUUGAAUACAACCUUAAAUAUGGUCGCCAUAUCUAAAAGUUCAAAGAUUUCUAUAUGAACCUGGAAAUGGUUGAAAUGGAUAACACAAUAAAAACUCUUAAUCAGUAAUGUGAACAUUUAAAGCCAAACAUUAAGUAACCAUGUUAUUAAUUAUUCAGUUUAACAGAAACCAAAACACACAAGUUGUAUAUCUUUCAUGAAAAAAGUGUAUAUAAGCUUUGUGCUGUCGAGCUUUGGACCCGGAAAUAGAAGAUUGACCUCAAUUUUAACCUUUGUGGUACAACAGAAUUUUUGUUUAGAUGUGAAUUUAUAGUGUAUAUAUAGAAUUAUGUAAAUGUUUUAUUAAUUUCAAAAAUGUAUUCCGCUGCCGGGUUUUGAACCCGGAAAUAGAAGAUUGACCUCAAUUUUAACCUUUGUGCUACAGCGGAUCUUUUGUUUAAAUGUGAAUUUAUAGUGUAUAUAUAUAAUUAUGUAAAUGUUUUAUUAAUUUCAAAAAUAUAUUUUGCUGCCGGGCUUUGAAUCCGGAAAUAGAAGAUUGAACUCAAUUUUCUUGUUGUUAGAUCGUAUCAUAUUGCUACUUUUUCGUCUUAUUGGCAAAAUUUAUAUGAUAUAAUAUAUGAAUCUUGUUUUUUUUUGGAGAAUCCAUAGUGGUUAAUUUAAUUUUUAAAUUGUUUAAUUAGAUUUUAUGGCAAUUUCGGAUUGGUUAAUUAAGAUGUGGUGGAUAAGAGAGGUUCAUCCCUAGAGAUGAACUAAAAAAUUGUUCUUUAGGAAAUUUAUAGUCUCAAUAGCUAAAAAUUCACAUCAACUUUCUAUAUGAACCUAGCAAUGGUUGAAAUGCAUAACCCAACAGAAACUCUUAAUCAAGCAAGCAGUAAUGUGAUCACUUAAAUCCCAAUUCUAAAUGAUCAUGUUAUUAAUUCAAUAUUUAAGAGAAACCUGAACACGUGGAUUUUGAGUUUUUAACUAAUUUAUGAUGGGUUUUAGUCUUUUAGAAACCCAACAUUUGUGUGGUUAUCAAAAAUCUGUAUAACUUUAAUUUGCAUCAUCUUUCUUACUCAAGCUAAACAUCUGAAAAGGGAAAAGAAUAUAUCCAAUUUAAGUGUUGUAACCAUGAACUUGAACGCGUUUGUUAAGAAACUUGUUAUUACUCAGAAUACUUUAGCAUUUUGCUCAUGUUGAAUCUCUUGUUUCCUAAUUAUAGUUUAGUUAGUGUAACGAACCUCCUUGUACUUCCUUUUCACAUUAACUUGUGCUUAAUGACUAUGUUAAUAAAAAUAUCUUCACUAAAAUAAUAAGCAAAAAUCACGUAACAAACCAUAUGAAAUGUCAUUAUCGUCGGUGGCUCGUGAAUGGUCUUUUUUUUUUAAUCCUAUCGGCUGAUCCGGUCGGUCUCGGUAGGAACGCACCGAGGUGCUACAGAGUGGACUUUUCCCGAUCCAGGUAGAAUUGGGCCACCACACUGCCUGAUCCGAGUUUGGAAUACCUUCCGACUAAUGCCAGGGGUAGUCAGGCCGCCUGCAUUUCUGACUACCAGGUAAACCAGUUGGGCCUUGACCUCCCAAACAAAUGUGUUUUUGUUUCCAGAGAGAAUCGAACUCGGGUCUAGGAGUUUCACCCUUCACCAAAGCUUCCUCUGCCACUAGACCACAGAAGCUUGGGCUAGAAAGAAAGUACUUGGCUUUAAGAAUGAAUCAUAUAUUCUUAAUUGGAUAUGCUUUCCCUUAUAUUCAUGAGUCAUGACGUCUUCUUUAUAAAGUUGGUUCAAGCAGGUUAACAUAUACAUAUAAUAAUGUUUUCAAGAAAAAUAUAAAGAUAAACAAACCGCAUGUAGUUUCACAUAUUUGAGUUGUUGAAACCAUAACCAUCCUGAAUUCCCUAAAAAGAUCGAUUGCGUUUCACCAUUCAAAAUUUUGGUUGUAGUUAGAAAAUAGUAUUGUUUAUUUUCUAUUUUAUUUAUGUUAGGUAUCACAUCGACAUCUAAAAACAUUUGAUAUAAACACAUAUUCAUGAAAAUGACUCAAAUUGAAGGCAUGUAGAUGUGAGGUCUUAUGUCAUAUAUGGAACAUUUUCAUUUGCCCACGAAUUAGCAUAAAUACAACCUUCUGUUUUUACCUUUCGAAUUUUUUUUUCUGGUAAAGAUCACAUUAGCUACACCAUCCUUAUAGGUCGCCGAAUCUUUUGAUUAAGACACAUUGUUUUCAAGAUUAUAAACAAGCUUCAAGCUCGAUGUCAAGCUCCUUCUUAAGAAAACUUAGAAUAAUUUCAAAAUAAAAUGCAUAAUUUGUUUUAUUUAAACUUCAUCAAACUCUACACAGACCAAAACCAAUGUUGCAUGGACAGAGAUAUCAACGAUUCAACGGAAGCCAACAACUUCUUCAUAGACGCAUGGAUGAAAAUAGUCACCAAGUAAUCUAGGAAAACCAAAAUCUCAAUUUGUAAAUAAACUUUUAUCAAACGUGUUAUUUCAAUUACUCUAGAUUACCUUAUAAUAAAGAAAUUUAGAGCUCUUUUGAUAAAAAUUGAGUUAUUUCUAACCAAAAAUCGAAUAUCUUCUGCUUUAUAUUCAAUGACUUUCAUCCAUCACCUUUUUCAACAAGAUCAAAUUUUCUUUUGGAUUUACGAUAUGAUAAGCCCCCAAGAUGAGCCAGUAACAACAUUGAUUUUUGUUUAUAUAGAAAUUUCCAAGGAGAAAUUCAAUAUAUAGACAAAAAUAAAAACCUCUACAUAUUGGCAAUGAACCAAUUUGAGGAUACAUCCAUGCAUGAUCCAACAAUCUAAGAACCUAUCCUUUACACAAAUAUCUAUUCUAGGGAGAGACAGAGUCGGAGGAGAAACGAGAGAGCUCUUUCGUAAGGAAGAUGAUGCGAGAGUGGUAAUCGCGCGCCUGGUCUAAAGAUUCGGCUUCAAGCUCAGCCAGCUGAGAGCAAAGAUGCUCCUCAGCCUCCUCAGCCACCUGCGUCCGCCGCCACAACUGCACCAUCUCUUUCCUCAUCUCCUCCACCGCUUUUUCCAUCUCUCCGUUCUUCUGUCGUAGCUCCUCCACCUCCGAAGCCGCCACCAUCACAUAGUUGCCUCCUUUCCCCAUUUCCUCUCUUUUUAUUUGAUGUUUUUUUGAUGAUUUCUCUUUUCUUUCUUUUUGUGUCUCUUUACGUUUUUGUUUGUUGUUCUUCUUAUUCUUUUGGUAAUUGAUUGUUCCUUAUAUAGGCGUCUCUGCGACUGGUCUUUGGGUGGUGGGUAUAUGUCUAGAUUCAUUGAUAUCUCUUGUUUUUCGUUCUUAUUUAUGGUUGGUUAUUUUUUUUUCCUCUAGAACAUUUUCUUUUUUAAUAAUGUUCCGAUAUAUACGUUGGAUCCAAUAAUAUAACAUGUGAGUUCUUUUUAGCAAAACUAUUUUGUAGACUUGGGUAGGAGGAUAUUCGAAAACUUUAACACCUACAAUUUCAUCUAUUUGAUAUUUACUAUUUAGCAAAAAAAAAAAAAAAAAAAAAUUUAGACCAAUCUUUUUACGGGAGACACUAUUACUAUUGAAUCUAUUGUAGGCUUUAAUAAUAGGGAGGCCAUAAAAUGUACUUCGUCCAUUUUUUUUUUUUCUGAUGUUUAAGGUUUUUCAUUUUUGUAUAUCGAUUAAAGAACUAUUUAAAUUUUUUAUGUAUUUUUAAAUGAAAACAAUUUUUUUUAAAUUUUCGUAUCGAGAAAGCUGAUCUAUAGCCAAUCUUUACUACGCGAGAUAAUGCAGUUUAGUGGAAUCGAACUCUGGUGAGGAAGGUAGAGUCAAAUGGACUUAACCAAAAAUAAAGUAAUAAAUCAUAUGAAAUGUCAUUGGCGGUGCCUCGUGAGUGGUCGUUGUGUUUAAAAGAGCAAAAAAAAAAAAAAAAAAAACUUGUAGUGUUUCGGUUAUACAAAUGUUUCAUCUUAUAUUCAUGACGUUCUCUAUUUUGUUUCACUCAAAUAUUUUACAUGAACAUAUAGCAUAUAAAAUGCUUUCAAAAAGAAAAGCUAAUAGUCUAAUUAGUGACACAAACCAAUAUAUAUUUUUAAGACUAUAAGAUAUCAAUAAAAGAGAUGACGAUAUAUUUACAAGCGGUAAAAGUAAAACUAAUGGUAAAAGGUAGCAAUACGAUAAAUAAAAAAAAUGAUAAUACCACCGUAUGUAUACUUAUACCACGACGGUAAAACAUCAUCAGUGAAAAGAUGCAGAUCUGUUUGGCUAUCCUAAAUUUCCUAAAGAGACGGAUUGCGUUUCACCAUUCAAAACUUUACUUGUAGAUAGAAAAAUGGAUAAUUGUUUAUUUUCUAUUUUGUAAAUGUUAGGUAUCACAUCGACAUCUAAACCAAUUAAUAUAAAACACAUACUCAUGAAAAUGACUCCAAGGCAUGUGAGUAUGUGAGGCCAUAUAUCAAAUAUGUGAUCUUUUUAUUUGCCUACCAAUUAGCAAAUCCUUCUCUUAAGGGUGUAGCUUUCCAAUUAUUUCAGGAAAAAGAUCACAUGACAUUAGCUCCACCAUCUAAUAGGUCGCCGAAUCUUUUAAAUAAGGACACAUUUUCUUCAAGCCUCUCUCUUUUUUUUGCUAAUAAAUUAUUAAUCUAAAUAUGAAUUGCACAUAUUUGUUUUUUUGUUCACAACUUGCUUAUAUAAAACAAACUUCAACUUUUACCAAAAAUAAAAUAAAACUUCAACAUAUACGCAUGGAUUAAAGUAGUCCCAAAAACUUAAAAACAAAAUCUUUAUUUGUAAUUGGUCAUCAUUUCACAUGUAAAAAAGAAAAGAGAAAUACGAAACAUGAACAUAAUUGUUUUUAAAAUUUCUUUCAAAUUCUAUUUCUUUUGUUAAAGUAAUUAACACGUCUUAUAAACAAAAAAAAUCGAUUUAUUUCAAACCAAACAUCGAAUAUCAUUUACUUUAUAUUUUCAAAGACUUUUCAUUCAUCACAUUUUUUUUCCAACAAGAUCCAUUUCUUUAAAGAUUUACCAUAUGGUAUUCGAAUUUCGCUAAACGCCCGACGACUAAUCGCAAAAAUCAAUCGGUAACAACAUCGACUUUUCUUCUGUUUUGGUUGAAAUUUCCAUGGAGAAAUUUUCCAUUAAAAAAAAAAAAAGACAAUUCUACAUAUUGGCAUUGACAGAGCCAAUAAAAGAUACAUCAAACAAUCUAAAAAACCUAUAUUUCUAUCUAUUCUAAGGAGAGGCAGAGACAGAGUCUGAAGAAAGACGAGAGAGCUCGUUCAUGAGGACAAUGAUACGAGAGUGGUAAUCACGAGCUUGGUCUAAAGAUUCAGCUUCAAGCUCGGCUAGCUGAGAGCAGAGACGCUCCUCCGCUUCCUCCGCCACCUGUGUCCGCCGCCACAACUGCAACAUCUCUUUCCUCAUGUCCUCCACCGCUUUUUCCAUCUCUCCGUUCUUCCGUCGUAGCUCCUCCACUUCAGAAGCCGCCACCGUCACAUAGUUUCCUCCUUUCCCCAUUUUAAAGAUUUCUCUAUCUUCUUUUUUUGUUACUUUGAGUUGUGUUUUUUUUUGUUGCUUUGUGUUUUGUUUGGGGUUCUUGAAUGUUCCUUAUUAAUAGGCGUCUUUGAGACUGGGGUUUGGGGUGGGUUUAUGUCUAGGUUCAAUAUAUCUAUAUCUUUUGUUCUUCUUUUUAUUUCUGGUGAGUUAUUUUCUUCAUCUAGAACAUUUUCCGAUAUACACGUUGGAUCCAAUUAAUAGUAUUUUGGAAUAUUUUAGUGGUACCAUACAAUUGUUUUAUUGGUUAGAGACAAAUAUGUUUUUGGAGAAGACAAAAUAUAAGUUACAAUAAAAAUUAUUAAUCAAUACAGUAAAAUAUAUGUGUUCAGUUAUAUAAUUCUAGUUAUUUCAAUAUUACAAAUGCCAAAAACAUUUAGAAAAAUGAAAAAUAUUUAUCUAAAUUGAUACAUUUUUAAAAAUGGAGUAUUUUGCAAGCUAAAAAUGAAUAUUUUAAUCAAUGACAAUAGAUAUUCUUAGUCCAAUUAACAAAAUGGAUUAAAACAUAAAUGUUUUGGACCCUUUUACUUUUAUCUAGUUGCUAUACAUAUAAAGUAAUGAAUAUUUCAUAACAUGUUAUUAUUUAUGUGGACAUCUAAGUUAUCAAUUGGAAAUCGUGCACGUGGAUAGUUUUAUCAUAAGAGAGAUUCAAUUAUUUACUGUUGAGCUAUGGUUUAGGCUUUUUUUUUUUUUUUUUUUUUUUUUUUUUUUUUUUUUUUAAUGGUUUAGGCUUGCAUCUAGUUAAUUAACGCUUUUCAUGUUUUCAUGUUUACUGGACCAUAAUUGAUAAUGAUUCGAUCAAUUUAUACAAGUGUAAACCAUAGCUCGUAAGUAAGUAAUGAAAAAUUGUUACAUUAUAGACCCACUGAGCUGUCAAUUUCAUCAAAACUAACUAUAUAUGUUGAUAGAUCAUAAUAAUACAUCAUCUCGAAAGUGGUCCUAAACUCAGGAUUAAGAUGUUCAAAUAUGUUUUCAUAUACGUAUGUAAAAAAAUAAAGAUUGUGAUGAUUCAAACGAUAUUUAUAUUUAUAUAUAUCCACCAACUCUUUAUCCUCAAAAAAUAUAUAUAUCCGUAAAGAAAAUAUAUAUCCGCUGCAAAAAAAUUUUUGUAAAGCAAGUUCGGCCCAAUAUUCUUAUUAAUUUGAUCAAUCAAAAUAUUUAUGUUUUAAUCCAUUUUUGCACUUGAAAAAUUAAUUGAACUAUUUCUUACCAUAAAUUGAACAAAAUUUCGGAAAUUGCUUUUUGAAGCAUCCAAUUUUCAAAAUUUAAUAUAUUCAUUAAAAAAACUUAAUUAAAAAAACUCAUGGGUUUGUGUUUUCAAAAGCUUAAUUAAUUUUCAGAAACCACCAAACUAAUCGUUGAAUAUAUUUUCUUGGCGAAAACGUUGACUGGACACUAAAAAAAUUAAAGAGUAUUUGAAUUUUCAAUGGAAACCCCACUUAUUUAAUAGGAGAAACCCUCUUUAAACUUCUUUUUUUCUGUUUUGCUAUUUCAUAGAAUAUGGAGAAAAUAUUCUAUGAAAAGAAUAUGGAGAAAAUAUUUGUUUUCCACUACUUCUCUUAAUUGCUAAAAGGAAUGUUGGAAAUCAUUUUCUCACCUUUAUCUUUUCCACUAAUAUCUUCCGUCAAUUAUAGCCAUUAACUUGGAGCACAAAGCCUUUGUCGAUGUAACCCACAUUCCCACUUCUUUCUCUUAAUUAGACAAUAUCUCCCAAAGUCAAGGGCUGUCACGAUUAUACAACUAUUCUUGUAUAGUUAAAGUUACGGCUCCGAUUGUUAGUUCUUAAAUUACUUAUUGGCUAUUUCUUUAUCGGUCUGUAUAUAGGGAAAACUAAGAAGACUUUGGUUAUGAAUGGAACAAUGGUGUCAAUGUGUCAUGAUCAUGAAGAUAAUAAAAUAAUGCAGUGGGGUUUAAUUUUGAAAAUAUAAUAUUGGUUAAAUCUUGAAAAUCGAAUUAGAAAAUUAAUAUUGCAAAACACAGAGUGGCUUGUCACCAACUGUUGAAAUCUUUAGUUUGGAAUAUGCUCUAUGGAUGCUGAUCAGUGAUCACUAUCUCCAUAAUAUCUAAUUAAUUAAAAAAUUAAUCAUUAUUCGUCCAAAAAUAAUAUCCCAAAUAGAAUUUAAAACACUCAAUUACGUCACCAACUAUGUUACGUGAGCAACAUCGGUAUACAUGUAGAAAAUAAUUUCCAGUUUUGUAAUAUUGCAAGAUCACCAUAAAAAGGGUGAAAACAAAAAUAAUUCAAGAAGGAAAAUUUGGUAGCAUAGUGGUGGAGAUAGUUUUUAUAUUUUAAGAUCUUUACAUUUCACCAAAUUGAGGAAGAUGAAAGUUUAAAGAAAUUGGCCAAGAAGCUCGAGACCUUAGGCCCUUGUUAAAUUAAAUAAUUUACUACAAAAAAAAACUGUCCAAUAGCUAGCCAGCGAUGUGUAAAAUUAGCUAAGUGUAUGAGUUUGCACAAUUUCUUAGUCCAUUUAGGGUAAAACAGUUAAUUUAUACACAAGCUAUGAAUUUCUCUUACAAUAUGUACAUGAACUAUUGACAUGUGUAAUCUCUAAAAUAGAUGGUAGUUAAUCUCUAAAAAAUAUAAUAUUUGAACAACAGUUUAUGUUCAAAACAACAGUUUAAUGAAUCAUGAUAUUGGAUUCAAAUAACUCGAGUAACUAAAAUAUUUCUAAAAUAAUAGCUUGACUAAUGGGAUCAUAUAUAUAUGAUAUAGAUUAGUCAUAGUCAUUCAUAUCCAACCUUUGGAAAUUCCAACUGAGAGGAGAAGAGUAGUUGGGAUAUGUCAAAACUCUAGACAUAGAUUCUAACUCUUUCAUCAUCUUCUCUUUAGUUUCAAGCUUGCAGGUUGAUUUCAUAGAAAUUCCAGCUCUCUUUAAACACUUAGGCUUCAAUUAGUAACCAUAAUUUAGGAAAAGAAUGAGAAGGAAUGUUAGAUUCCUCUUUGUUCCUCAAUAUUUUUAUCAUUUACAUGUAAUAUUUUUUCCACACCAUUCCUCACCAAAAGAGGAACACUAGAACAAAAAUGUUCCUCUCCAAAAUUGAUGAGGAACAAAUGAAACAAAAAAGGAACAAAUAUUAAAAUUCGUUUUUAUUUUAAAAUAAAUAAAAAAAUAAAGUUUAUCAAUAAUAUUUGUAUUUUAUUAUAUAAUAAUUUUCAUAUCUUCACAAUAUAUUAACAGAAAAAAUAUUUUUGAUAAGAAUUUCAUGUUGAAUUACUCUUAAGACUUCACUUGAAAAAUAUAUAAAUAGUAAAAUAAAUUUAAAAAUGUUUAUAUUGUAAAAGAAUAAUAUAUUUUAAAUUAUUCUUUCAAUUUUAUUUUAUGUUAAUAUUAAAUAUUAUUAUUUAAAAUGAUAUAUAUAUAUAUAUAUAUUUAGUUCACAAAUUUUUUCAAAUACAAAUUUUCAAAUUAAAUAAAUAUAAAAAAUACUUAGUAUUUUUCGUUGAAAUUUGAUUUAUUUACUAUUUAAUAUAUCUUUAAAGAUAUUUUUAAUGUUUGGUUACCAUUCAUCAUAAUAGUACAUUUUAUUCAUUCCCUGCAUCUUUUCUUUUCCGUUCCUCAAAAAUUGUUUAUUCCAUUCUGCAUUGUUCUUUUUAUUCCUUUUCUUUUUGUUCUUUUAAUGGUUACCAGUCGGAGCCUUAGUGUUGGCAAAGAUAUAUUUUAUGGCUUCUUGCUCCUUGCUUAGUCCUAUAUAUCCUUUCCACUCAAAGAUCUCGAGAUGAGCUGAGAAACAUCCGAGAACAGAACUCGGUUUUUUCCAUGAAAGUGAAAAUUUCUCAUCAAGUCGAAUUAAUGUUUGUGAAGCAACAACAAAAGAUAUAUAAAGUAAACACUUAGUUAUUCUUUUCUCUUUAUUUUAUUGCUCUAUCAAAAUUGACAUGAAAGAAACUACAAACCUGGUCGAUGAAAAGAACUUUAAGAUUAGGAGAAUUUUGUAGCAAUCCCAUUAGUGAUUCCAACCUGUCUAACUCAGCUAAAAGUAUUACUUUACACUAUAUUAGCUUGGAAAAGUUAAUAGCGUUACACCAAACAACCUACAAUGAAGGCAAUAACACAUAGAUAAGCGCUAGUUAUAUAAUAUAUGGGACAAUAAAAAAAGAGUGAAGUUGAAAUAACGCUACACACCGUUGCAGUUCUCAAAUCUAGUUCGAAAUUCAUGACUGAGGAAAUAGAUCUCAUAAACUUAUCAUCAGGGUAACUUAAAAAGCCGAUACUUGCUUUAUCAAAACAAGGCUUGUUCUCAAUCGAACAAGAAUCUCCCGAUAUAAUCUCUAUAGAAAUUUUUUUUUUAAAGUCGGGGAAUCUAUAACCAAAGAUCCUCCUAUUGCUUCGUUGUGCACUCCAAAAUGAUUAACAUUAACAUAUAUCAAGUAUUCCAAAGAUGGGACUUCUAUAUUGAAAUUUCUAACGUUGUCUUGGUGAUGUCGUUUUACCCACAAAAUUUUGAGAAUAGGACAAUUCGAUAAAAGCAUAACAAGAGAAUAGGUCUGUAUUUUCCCUAAGAAGACUUUGGUUAUGACUUAUGAAUGGUGUCAUGAUCAUGAAGAUAAUAAAAUAAUGCGGUGGACUUUAAUUUUGAAAAUAUAAUAUUGGUUAAAUAUUGCAAAACACAGAAGGACUGGUCACCAAAUGUUGAAAUCUUUUAGUUGGAAUAUGCUCGAUGGAUGCUGAUCAGUCAUCACUAUCUCCAUAAUAUCUAAUUAAUUAAAAAAUUAAUUAUCAUUCAUCCAAAAAUAUCCCAAAUAGAUUUUAAAACACCCAAUUACGUCUCCAACUAUGUUACGUGAGCAACAUCGGUAUACAUGUAGAAAAUAAUUUCCAGUUUUGUAAUAUUGCAAGAUCACCAUAAAAAUGGUGAAAUCAAAAAUAAUUCAAGAAGGAAAAUUUGGUGGCAUAGUGGUGGUGGAGAUAGUUUUUAUUUUUCAAGAUCUUUUAUAUCUCACCAAACUGAGGAAGAUGAAAGUUUAAAGGAAUUGGCCAAGAAGCUCGAGACCUUAGGCCCUUGUUAAAACUAAAUAAAUUUGUGAUCUAUCUACUACAAAAAAAACUGUACAAUAGCUAACAAGAGAUGUGUAAAAUUAGCUAGUGUACUAAGAUAUGACCCGCGGUACACCGCAGGCUAAAAUAUUUAAUAAUUUUACAUUUUUAUUUUAAGUUGAUGAAUUUUUUGUAUUUAUUUGGUAUGUUUUUUGGGACCCUUUUUUAUAUGUUAAUUUUCAAAAAAUCUAGAACUUAACCGAGAUAAUAUUUUUUUAUAUAUAUAAUAAUGUUAGAUUUUGGUAUUUUAUUAUUUAGUAUUAAAGUUAUAUGAGUUAAACUUUUGGUAUUUUUAGAUUUAACAUGUAUAACAUAUGUAAUUGAAUAACUUAGUAUUGCAAUUACACAUUUGGACGAAGAUUAAAACUUUAAAAAACUUAUUAUAUAUAUAUAUAUAUAUAUAUAAAUGUUAGAUUUUUACGAUAAAUUUUAUCUAAUAUUAAAGCUAUAUGAUUACACUUUUUGGUUUAAGAGAUUUAAUCUGUAAUUUAGAUGUAAUUUAGUAACUCAAUUACACAUUCAGAGAUUGACCCGUGGGACAUUAAUGAAAUCAGAAUUUAGAUAUAAAAUUCAUAUUUACCAAAUUUAGUAAAUUGACCCGUGGAACAUUAGUGAAAUCAGAAUUUAGACCCGUGGAACAUUACACAUUUACAAAAUAUCCAAAAUUAGAUAUAAAACUAAUGAAAAUCAAAACAUACAUAGAAACAAAAUAAGAAAACAGAAAACAUUUAGAGUGAAUUACAAAAUAUAUAAAAAAAAAUAUGAUGUGAUUUAGUAUCAAAAAUUAACCAUAUAAAACCUUUUAUUGGUAAAACUUAGUUGAUUAAAAAUGAUAACAUUAGAAUAAUAAAAAUUAAAAAUAAGAAUCUCAUUUUAUGUAUAAAAAGAAAUCAUUUUCUUCUUACCCUAAAGAAAGAAGAAGAAAAUGAAUGAAUUUGUUAGCCUUAAAAAAUAUAUUUACAAACAUUAAGAUUGUGGAGAAGAAACAUGAAAACGUUUGCAAAAAGAAACUGGACAAUUGAAACAAAAAUCGAAGAUCAAAUGAUAAGAAGUACUACCAACUAAUCUUUUAGUGGAGCAUAAAAAAUAUUAGGUAACAACUAAUUGUUUAAAAGAAUAGUAACAUGAAAAUGAUCAUUUUUAUUUUGCUUUGGAAUGAAAAAAUCAAAGUGUUUGGUUAUGGUGUUUAGAAACUAAGAUUGAAGAGGUAUUUAUAGAUUACAAUGAGUAGGUUAAAUAAAAUAUUUUAAUCAUAAAAUCUUGAAGAUCAAGCAAAUGGAAUAUAUUCGAAAUCUCUAAAUAAUUGGUAGUUUCUAUUUUUCAAACUAAUUACAAACUUUAGAAUAAUCUUUAGGUUUUUUUUUUUUUUUUUUUUUUGCAAUCAUAAACAUUUCCUUAAUUUGUUUCACUUUAAUUUCCUGAUAUGGAGAAGAUUUGAAGUUACGAAAAUCUAUCCAAUGAAGCAAAAGAAAUUUAUCACUAAAAUAAUAUGUUUUACAAAAGUUUAGAAUAUUUUCGAUAUUAUAGAGAUUUAACUAUAUAUAGGCUUAAUAUUAACUUACCACAUAAUUAUUUCCUUAAUUAAAAUCGUAAUAACUAUAAAUAUUGAAAUCAAGAUUCCCCAUUUAAAAUAAACUAUCUAUAUAUACAAUUAUAUUUAAUUCCGAUAUCUAUGUUUUCCUUAAUUUAUAUUUUUUAAAUAUACUAACCGAAUUAGAUUUAUGCAAGAUUUUGGUUAAUUAAAUGUCAUUUGGAUUUAAUAUAGGGAUUAUCAAAUAAGGAAUUAUCCGAUUUAAAAAUUUUCGUUCAAAUAAAGUAAAUAUGGAAGAAUCCGAAUCAAAGAUUUCCGGGUCAAAAUCAAUUAAAACCCGACCCGAUUAGAAGGAGCAAAAAUGUUAAGUAGAUGAGUAUGAGUUUGCACAAUUUCUUAGUCCAUUUAGGGUAAAACAGUUAAUUCAUACACAAGCUAUGAAUUUCUCUUACAAUAUCUACAUGAAUACUGACAUGUGUGGUUAAUCUCUAAAAAAAUAUAAUAUUUGAACAACAAUAUAUGUUCAAAACAACAGUUUCAUGAAUCAUGGAUUCAAAUAACUCGAGUAACUAAAAUAUAUUUAAAAAUAAUAGCUUGACUAAUGGGACACAUAUAUAUGAUCCAUGAUAUCGAUUAGUCAUAGUCAUUCAUAUCCAACCUUCGGAAAUUCCAACUGAGAGGAGAAAAGUAGUUGGGAUGUUGUCGAAACCCUAGACAUAGAUUCUAACUAUUUCAUCAUCUUCUCUUUAGCUUCAAGCUUGCAGCUUGAUUUCAUAGAAAUUCCAGCUCUCUUUAAACACUUGGAGUUGGCAAAGAUAUAUUUUAUGGCUUCUUUCUCCUUGCUUCGUCCUAUAUAUCCUUUCCAAUCAAAUAUCUCGAGAUGAGCUGAGAAACAUCAGGGAACAGAACUCGGUUCCUUCCAUGAAAGUGAGAAAUUCUCAUCAAGUCGAUUAAUGUCUAUGAAACAACAACAAAAGAUAUAAAGUAAACAUUUAGUUAUUCUUUUCUCUUUAUUUUAUUGGUCUAUCAAAACUGACAUGAAAUAAACUAUUCCCUCCGUUUCAUAAUGUAAAUCGUUCUAAAAGUACACAGAUUAAAAAUAUCUACUUUUAAAAAUUCAGCCAAUCAUAAAAUAAACUACAUAAUAUAAAUAAUUAUAAAAUUUUAAGGUAAUCUAUAUUAUUAAUUGGGAAUCACUAAAUAUUAAAUAACAUUAUGAAGAGUAAAAUAUUACAAAAAAUACCAUUGGUUUUUAGUGUUUUCAAAUAACUUCAUUAAGGGUACAAUAGUAAUCACAAAAUUAAUAUAUUUAAAUGAAAAAUAGUUUAAUUCUUUUAAAUAAUUAUUAAUUUCCAAAAAAAUAAACUAAUUUUCUCUCUCUUAUUAAUUAUACACGAAAAUUUGAAAUUAAUUUUUAAAAAAUUGUUAACCAAUAAGAAUUGAAAAACUAAGAUUUUAUCUAAACGUAAUAAACUAUUCUAUAUCAAAAAUAAAAAGAAAAAUAAUAUCAUUUUAAUUCAAAAUUAAAUACACUAUCGUUUAAAAGAUUUAUCAAUGGAGGACUUUAAGAUUAAAUUUAAAAUUUCGUAAGAAAACUAAAUACAAAUAUUUUAAGAUUCAGUUUUGUUAUAAUAUUUUCACAAAUUUUAAAAUAUAAAACAAAAUAUUAUUUCAAAAUUUCUAAAAUACGAUAUUAGAUAUUAACAACUAUUUAUAUUUAUGAUGAAAUAAACUCAAAUAAUAAUAAAUUUAAAGUAAUUAUCAUUAUAGCCUUCGUUUAGAGCAAGUUUGAUAAAUAUCUAACAGUAGAUUGUAUAUAUUAAUUUCUAAAUUAUUUUGCGUUUUAUUUUUUGUUUUUCAACCGGAUCUUCCUUAAACAAAUCUUUAAUAUAUUACACACUGUUUUCAAAUAAUGUAAACUAAUUAUAUGUUUUGAAUUCAAAACAAAUUAUGCAGAAAUAGCAUAUACCUUUUAGAGAUGUAUCUCAAAUUUUUAUUUUUAGUCCAAAAAUCAAAUUAAUUAUGAUUAAACAAUAAAAAGAAGAAUAUGAAAAAUUUAGCAAAGAAAGAAACAUUAAUAAAUUUGUUAAAAUAUAUUUGUAACUUUAGCAGCAAAUAUAUUAAUCUGCAAAACUCACAGUAUGUAUUGUAUGGUAUUUAAAAGUAAGCACACAAGAAUUUGGAACAUGAUUUCAAUGAAAUGAAAUGAGAAUAGGAAUUACGAGACGGGAUGAGAGGGGAACAUAAAUUAAAAAUCAAACUAAAUACCCAAUUGGUAUGAGUUCAGGCUAUGAGCACUAUAUAAAAUAAAUUUGUUUAUAUUCAUAACCCUGUACGUAAGUUUUCAGUUACACAUAUUCUAUUUAUGCCGAAUACUGGACCUUCAUAUUUUUAUUUCACGUAUACGAGACGGGUUAUGGGACCAAGAAUUUAUGACGGAUACAGGACGGGAUAGGUUUCCCGUUCUAAAAUAGUUACGUCUAGCUAAUAUACAUGAAAUAACCAAACUCAAACCGAAUCUAUAUCCUAUUUAAAACAUGUAAUCAAACUAUUAGAAAUGUUUUGAUUAGUUUAGAAAAUAAAAAAGUAACAUCAUUUAACUUUUGAAACUAAAUUAUAUCUUAGUUUUGUCUUAAAUAUAAUUUCGCACGUACGUGUAGGUACGGAUCUUAAAAUAUAACUAUGCACUAACGCAACUGAAUUUCGUUCAUUACUCUAAUUUUAUAAUAUUUAUACUAUUAUAACGUUCACUAACACAACAAAAUAUUUUAUAUUUUUAAAAUCUAUAUAACAAUUUCUAUAAAAAUAUCUCUGCACGUACGUGUGAAUCCAGAUCUAAUACACUAAAAUAUAUAUCAAAGAAACAACGAAAUAAUCUAUAUUGAAUUAAAAUUUGUUAGAACUUUUUUAAAAAUAUGAAAUCCCGCACAUAUGUGCGGGUCAUGAUCUAGUAUAUAAUUUGCAUAGAAACUUGAAAAUGACUCUAUUGUGAAACAAAAAAGUUUACCCAAAACGACUUAUAUUAUAUUAUGAAACAGAGGGAGCACAAACCUGGUUGAUGAAAAGAACUUUAAGAUUAGGAGAAUUUUGUAGCAAUCCCAUUAGUGAUUCCAACCAGUCUAACUCAGCUAAAAGUGUUACUUUACACUCCAUUAGCUUGGAAAAGAUAUUAGCGUUACACCAAACAACCUACAAUAAUGGCAAUAACACAUAGAUAACUGCUAGUUAUAUAAUGGGACAAUAAAAAAAAAAAAAGUGAGGUUGAAAUAAAGCUACACACCGUUGCAGUUCUCAAAUCUAGUUCGAAAUUCAUGACUGAGGAAAUAGAUCUCAUAAACUUAUCAUCAGGGUAACUUAAAAAACCGAUAUUUGCUUUAUCAAAACAAGGCUUGUUCUCAAUCGAGCAAGAAUCUUCCGAAUAAUCUCUGUAGAAAAAUUUCUUUAAAGCCGGGGAAUCUAUAACCAAAGAUCCUCCUAUUCCUUCGUUGUGCACUCCAAAAAAAUUAACAUUAACAUAUAUCAAGCAUUCCAAAGAUGUGACUUUUAUAUUGAAAUUUCUAACGUUGUCCUGGUGAUGUCUUUUUACCCAUAAAAGUUUGAGAAUAGGACAAUUCGAUAAAAGCCUAACAAGAGAAUCUUCAUCUUUAUACACCACACAGUAAAGGGAAAUGCUUUUAAGGGAUGAGAGGCAAACCCGAGAAGGAUCAUCCACGAUAAUAUUGUUGGAAAGAUGUAGUUCAACAAGUGUAUCACAUGUGUAAAGGCUCUUAGACAAACUGGCCGGUUCCGCGGACCAUGUGAUCAUCAACGUUAGCUCGCGCACCCUACGAGCAACAGCAAUUGCAAUCCACUUUCCCACAUCAACAUGAUCUCCAGAAGGACCGAGUUUUAUCAGUAAUGAUUCUAAUACAUGUGCCUUGUGGAGUUGUAACGACUUGUCAAUAAACCGCCAUAAACACCGUUGUUGUUGCUCACUUUUGUCAAAUAAACGGCCAAGUAAACGACCAAAUAAACCACCAGUAAAUACUUUGUGAGUAUCAUCAUAGUACCCUAGUCUUGGCACCAUCGUCCAAAUAGACCGCCAUCGUUUUGACAAAAUCAUAGUGGCCACUACAUCUUUCGUGCCCGGGAGAAACAACAAUAUAUGCAUGAGCAAAUCAUCCGGCAACGCACUGAUCCUGUCUUCACCUCUAAUUCUCUGACAACAACGUUUGGCUCUGUUCUUCACAAAUCGAAGCCAUGUUUGUUGUAAUUGUAUAGAUAUCGCAUAGGCAACAUGCAUUGAGCUGAAAAUUAAUAAAAGUCGUCCCAACAUCUUUUCUAGCUGAAACUACACCAAUGUUUCUUCUUUCUCUCGUUAAUAUUUAUUAGGGUUUAGGGUGAGAUAUUAUCUCUAACCUUUUUUUUUUUUUGUAAGAUAUUAUCUCUAACUUUUCUUAUAUCUUUUUGUAAGAUUCUUUAUUUUCUACUUUCUCUCGUUUCAAUUUAUUUUUUAACACAAAAUAAAUAAAUAAAAAAAUCAAAUUUCAUAUGCUUAAUAGGUCAAAAUAUUAAGAAUUAAAUUGAAUUAAUUAAUCACCGCACGCAUUCCAAUUAUCCAACGCCGGAGAAGAUCAAUGUGUGUCAUUUCCUCCGGCGAGAAAACACAAACAGAGGAAAAAAAAAGUGUCUUCUUUUUUCGUCCGCGAAUAGAAAAAAUGUCAGCUUUGUGUCCUGUCUGCAAUCUCACGCUUCCUCUCUCCCUAAUCCAAAGGUAUCAACAACCCCUAAUUUCUUCUCUCUUUUCUAUAUGAUCCUUAGUUUCAUCCAUCAUGGUCUUGAUGUGUCUGUCUGGUUAUGGCGGAGGAUUUGACUCAGCCAUGUGAAUUCCCACUUCGAAGACGAUGAAAUCGAUCCACAAAUCGAAAGUGACCACCAUUUGGCUCUGCAACUCGCUUCUUCUUCUUCUGACCCUUCUCCGUCUUCCUCUGCGUCAUCAUCUGUAAUGCUUUCUUAAAACCCUUGAAUCUUCUUUCCUCUCCUGCGUUUGGUUGCGUAAAGAAAACCCAUUUGACAAAGUUGUCUCUUUGGUGCAUUUACAGACCAAGAGUCAAUUCUACAGUGUAGGUCAUGGUGGUUUGAUUUGUUUGCUGAGGAACUGUUUGGAAUCAGAACUGAGAUCGAAAUCGAAACCUUUAGAGAGUAGUACUAGUUUACUAUCAGGCUUUGUUGAUCAUUUUCAAUCUUCAAUGGAGGAUAAAGGUUGGGGAUGUGGAUGGAGGAAUAUUCAAAUGCAAUGUUCUCAUUUGCUUUCUUGUAGAGUAGAAGCUAAAAGAGUUCUCUUUAGUGGCUCUAAUUUUGUUCCUGAUAUUCCUUCGCUCCAGCGAUGGCUUGAGUUAGCUUGGAGCAAGGGGUUUGAUGUUUCUGGAGCUCUCCAGUUUGAUAAUCGAAUCUGUGGUUCCAAGAGAUGGAUUGGAACUACUGAAUGUGCUGCGUUGUUACGUUCUUUCGGGUUAAAAGCUAUGAUUGUUGAUUUUGCUCCUAAGAAGUCUAAGUCAAUGUAUCUUUCAGUUCCUGGUUCUGCUAUUGCUCCCAAGGUAAAGUCAUAUGGUCCCAUGGACAGAUAUGUGGUUAAAAAGGGGGGAAGUGGGAAGGGAAAAGCAGUUGACUCUCAUAGCUCUAAUUCUUCUAGGAUCAGCAAAGGAGCGGUUUUAAUGGAAUGGGUUUGGAAUUACUUCUCAGAUAACAGAUUAAAUGUUUCUUCCGGUGUUCAUAUGACGAACAAAGGGUAGGUUGUUCUGUUUCAGUUCUUGGUCUUGGAAUGUCUUUUAUAACUUCAAAACACAUUACAUAUAAGGUUUGUGAGUUGAUGUUAUCGUGUGUACUGCAGGCCCUUGUAUUUCCAACAUGAAGGGCACUCGAGGACAAUUGUUGGGAUUCAGAGACGGUUGCUAGGAACUACAUUUACUCCUCAGUACAAUCUCCUGAUUUUAGAACCGGCUGAUGUUAGUAUACUGUUCUUUUUAAUGAUUAGGGAACUCAGUGACGACAUGUCUAUGCAUGAACAUCAGCUUUUACUUGAAUCUGAUUAAUGAUUGUGAGACUUGAAUGUGAAUGCAGUUUACUAGAGCUAUAGAGAAAGCGCUUAUAGAGAAGAGAGGAUGGGAGGGAUAUCUUAAAAGAGGAGCUCACACAUUGACGAGUCCCGAGUAUCAGGUCUCAGCUUCGAACUCUGAUAUCCAUCAUUGCUUUGUUAUUUGGCAAAAAGUUGAGUGAUUUGAUCUGAGUGUGAUUGGGAAAUGUUAUAAUGAUAUAUACAUACAGAUGUUGUACGUUGAUAAUGGAAUUGCUGAUGGAGAGGAGUUGGAGAAGCUCAAGACCAUUGAUAGUCACUUUGUUGAAUUCUAAUUGCUUUCAUAAAAAUUGAAGAAUGGUUCUUGGAGAUUCGUAGAUUGAUUGCAGUUGUAUACUUCUGUAUCAUAUGCAACAUUUUGUAAUUGCUAAGGAAAAGCUCAUAUAACAUUGACAUUUUAUAUAUUUUGCAUCAGAGUGGAUUGUUUAUAUAAUUCAUAAGCAUUUCUCUUUUUUCAAGAAUAUGUUAGAAGUCAGACUACUAAGACUUUCCGAAUGAAAGAUUAUUAUGGUUUGGAUGAUAAACAAGUUUCAACAGUCAAUAUUUUGCUUUGAAUUAUUCAGAGUUCAGACACUAUGUUUCUUUGAACAGUACCAACUUUGGAUUGUUGUGAAAACUACUAAGAGCAUAUAAGAUGUGGCUAUUUAUUAGAAACAUUGAGAAAGACUAAAAUGUGAAAAUACAGAAUGGCAAUUUGAGAUUUUUGUCCAGAGAUAGCAUCUUCAUCACCACACCUAAAAAUAGAAAUGUCUUUUUUCCAAAAGCACUUAAACUAGAGAGAAUGAGUCAUAAAGAAGAAAAAAAAGGCUAUAGAGCUUUUUUCGAUUCCCCCAGUUUGGUGAUCCUUUCUUCCUCUGGGAACAAAACUUUUUCAUGUGUGCCUCAAAUGAACAACAUAACCUCACUGUUGCUCUUCCAUGGACUCUGAAAAUGGUGACAUUUUAGAGGUUUUGUUGGUUAUUUAAGAGGCAGAUGCAGCCACCUUCUUCCUCACAAUCCUUUUCCGCCUAGCCUUUGGAGGUGGAGGAUCUGAAACUGAGUCCUCUUGCUUCUUCCCCAGUAGCCCUGAGACAAUUGCAUUCUUUGAGAUGAACCAUCUUGAAGAUGGCUUUGCUACUGCUUCCUCUGACGGUCGGUUGUAUGCUUUUGCCAGCAGAUCAUCUGACUGCGCCAGUGGAUCUGCCUCCACACCUAGCCAUACCUGUCUUGACUUUUCCCCUAAUUGAACAUUCAUAAUCCUGUACCACAUCCAUCCAUAUUCAUCAACGUUCUUGAUCCCCAGAAUAAAGGUUUCCUAAGUCCUAAGACAGAGUUUUACAAUACAACAUCCAAACGUCCCACAUGUCCUGUUUAUGUAUGUUAUGGACAUAUGUGGGAGAGGAGGGUGGGAGAAAGAGAGGAAUACCUCAAGGCAGUGCCGAAGAAGAGUGCAACUCCUAUGACAUCAAAGUGGCUGCUCACUCCUCUUUCAAAUCCACAUAACAGCUGAUAUCUCAAGUUCGCAUAUAUUCCAAGAAAUGCACCAUAACCAAGAGCAUUUGUGCUGAUAGAUGGGACCGUCACAGAUACUCUGUCAGAACAAAGGUACAACAAGUUAAGCAUGAGCUGGAAAAAAAAGCAGACAUGCUGCCCGAGUGAAUCAAGAGAUUUGUAAUCCUAAGAUAGAAACAGAAGAUCUGUGAUGACCUGUUCUUCUUCUUUCCUGCCAGAAAGUUUGACAACGAACCCUGGAGAGUUCCUGCUGCGAGUCCAAGAAUGGACAACUCUGCUGCCUUGUAGAAAAGAGAAUGAAAUCUCUUUUGCAAGUCGAACUCUCUAAGAGGAUAGCUCAUUUCAAAUAAAUUAUUUGGUAGCUUUUGUAGUGUAUUUUGCAGGUCAAACCGGAAUGUGUUUCCAUAGGAACGACAUGGAGCUAGCAACCAAACAGCAGCUGCAUUGCAUGCUGAUACAGUAAGAACAUUUAUAAGUGCAAGAUCCCAUUCCUCUUUUAGUCUGCAAAUCAUAGAGUAUGCAAUUUAGGACACGAAACUAGAAGCUACAAAACCUUCAAAGUUUAGGUAGAUGGACAGGAACAUACCUAUUCUUACGAUUCUUCACCUCCCACCAAACCGAGCAUCCAACCGUGGCAGCUUGCUCCAAAAGAAGUUUAUAGAGAAAUGCAGGAUCCGCCAACAUCCUACACAAGACAGUCACCUUAGUCAAGACUGCAUAUAGUCUAACAUUAUAGAAACUUAUAACUUAAGAGACAACGAAGUUUACAUGGACAGAUGGAUUCUCAGAAGAAACCCUAAAAUUACCUGCCAACAAAGGCCCUCGACAAUCCCUGAGGAAGAGCACGGGAGAUCAUUCUAGUUGUUGUAGGACGGGCAUUUAUAGCAAGGAAUUUCACCAUUUGUGCUGAACUGACC
RNAcentral lists this long non-coding RNA (62700 nucleotides) under Arabidopsis lyrata. RNAcentral's name for it is "long non-coding RNA (ALYR_LNC001298)". The record is from RNAcentral. Lineage: Eukaryota; Viridiplantae; Streptophyta; Magnoliopsida; Brassicales; Brassicaceae.